Molecule: long non-coding RNA, 71885 nt
Filed under: Ananas comosus (pineapple)
Lineage: Eukaryota; Viridiplantae; Streptophyta; Magnoliopsida; Poales; Bromeliaceae
Description: long non-coding RNA (ACOM_LNC001921)
Source: RNAcentral
UAAAACAAGAUCAAUAUCUUUGAUUUAAAAUUUUAAUGUCAUAUUACUAUAUUUUAUAAGAUUUUUAUUUUCAGCCGUUGAUUUUGAGCCCCUUCGUUCACUAGGCAAAUUAUAUCGUAAAAUCAUAAAAUUUAUUUUCUAGAUACUUCAAAUACUCUAGAUCAAGUUUAACAGAGCCGAUCGACGAUUCGAAAGUCGCAACAUCGAAAACGAGCUAGAAGCACGGAAGGUUUCGUGCUUCCGAUAGCAUAGUAGUCUCACUCUAUAUAUAUAUAUAUAUAUAUAUAUAUAUAUAUAUAUAACAACACGCACGCUACACCAUAAAUCAUAUUUGGUGGCACUUUUUUAGUGGCUCUUAUAAAAAAUGCCAGUUAUAAUUAGUUAUUAAUGACACUUUUAAAUAAAUGCCUUUAGUUAAUUAAUUAUUAAAUCUAUUUUUAAUUUUUUGAAAAGUUGUGAGGUCACAUCAAAAUUCUACCCAAAAAAAGUCGCCAGCAAGGCGGGAAUUUUUGACUUCGCGCUUAAGGAAAAAAAAAAACCCUCUUCGAUCGAAAAACCCUUUACGCGGUGGCCUAGUUCUCAUCCCAUCUUCAAAAAAAUCCCUUCGUCUUUGCUUCAAACCCGGCCUCCUUCUCCUCCUCCUCCUCGUCCUCCUCCUUUCGCUCUCACCUUCGCCUCGCCGCAAUCUCGUCUCUGCCCCCGAAGCGCCGACGUUGGAGGGAGGAGCCACGAUCUCGUCGCUCGCCCCGCCGCCGCUGCCGAGGGCUCCGAACCCUCGGUCGCCGCCGCCGAUGAUAAGGUGAAACAAUCGUUUAUGGAACCCUUGUUCUUUUAGGUCGAUUAGACCCUGAUAUGUGAAUUUAUGAGAUCUGUUUUAGUUCGAGAAGGGCUCGAUUUUGGCGGAUUUGCUUCUCUUGGAGUUUGCUUAGGUGACUCAGGAGAUAUGCAGGCUAAGUUAUCACUUUUUUUGUAUUUUACUGUUGUGGUUACAAGGAAAAAAAAAAAAUCGUACGUCCUUCAGAUUGUUACCAAUUUAGAUUCUUAAUAGCUUCACACUAGGUAAGGUUUUUCUCAAUAAUGACACAAAUAACAUUCAUUUGGAUGCAGCAAAUUUGGCGAUAUCGAUGAUGAGGAUCACUUCAUCGAGACUCUUACAAAUGAUGUUCGAGUGGUUGAUGCGGUGCCUGAAUUCAUAAUGGAGCGUUUUGGUGACAAUAUGAGUAAUGUAUUCAACUUCAAAAUAAAAGCUUGGUCUUCUAUUCAGUAUUACAAGGAUGCUGUUCUUCCAAAGCUGGUUGAAGAAAAGUGAGUCGAAAAUCCUAUUUAUAUGCCAUUUCCAGCUGUUACUUUCCUCAUUUCGAUUUAUGUGGAAAUUACUAGAUGAAGAUUUUGGCUUUGCUUUAUGUUAGCUUUUUGUCGAAGUUACUCUUUAGCUUAUGUGUAAUAAUCAUUCAACUCCUCAAACUUGUCUUUUUUUUAAAAAAAAAUAUAAUAAAAUAAAACAGGCUUAUAAGGAUUUCUCCUUUCGCAAAUCGGCUAUCAUUUGAUGCCCCUCCUGCCGUCCAACGCUUAAGAUGCUUGGCUAAUUUUGAAGCCUUGCGUUUCUCGAAUCCUAUUGCAACUUUUGGCUGAAAAGUUGGUUUCUCGAAUGAAAGAACGGAGUGUUGAUAACAAUGGCAAAUAUGUUGCAGUACAUCUUCGCUUUGAGGAGGUUUGUUUGUGUUUAUUUUUGUAAUAUUUACAUUCAUACCUCUGCAAAACCAUCUAUUGCACUUACAACCCUACAAAACCUUGAAUUUUGAUACAUGCACUCUAAAACCUUAAUAUCUUGCAUAUGUACCCUUCUACUUGUGAGAAUGCCCCUCCUUAGAAAAAGGAACUUUUUUUAUAAAAAAAUAGCCAUGAAUUGGAUGACUCCCAAACUUUUUUUCAUUUAGUUCUGCAUCCUUCUGCAGCUUUCAUAUUUUGGGUUACAUUGAGGAGUUGAGGACUUGAUAGUAGAUUUACCUAUUUUUCAGGAUAUGGUUGCAUUUUCAUGUUGCAUAUUUGAUGGUGGGGAAGCGGAGAAGCAGGACAUGAAUGCAGCAAGAGAAAGAGGGUGGAGAGGAAAGUUUACUAAACCUGGUCGUGUAAUACGACCUGGUGCAAUAAGAAUGAAUGGAAAAUGCCCACUUACACCUUUGGAGGUACAUACUUUCCAAUUUCUCUUCUUCUUCUUCUUCUUUAGAUUGCGUUACGCACGAAUGUGUCGGAAAUAAUCUUUGUCUCAUUCAAACUAAAAUAUUUUAGCAUAUCUUUAGCAAAAUAUUUUAUCUUUCUAGCUCUUAUAUAUAUCAUAAAUAAAAAAACGUGCAAGCCAUGUUUUAACAUUUUCUCUUAUAUAUAAGUUAAUAGUCUCUUAGCUUAUUUGAAAAGGAAUCUGUGAAUUGGAGACAACACUGUUUGUAAGCUGUAAGUUAACUAUACAGUGAGCAUUUGUGUCGAAAUUGUAAUGCUGUUCUGGUGAAUUCGGGAAAAUUCUAAACGAUGGACUAGGCACGUGCAUAUGAAUUGAGCAUAGUAAACCCAUAAGAUUUGCAUAAAUUGGCCAAUUUAAACUCAUGAAGUGGUAGUUACCUACUCUAUGUUGAUCAUUGUGCUAUAUAUAACUAUCGUUUCUAGAGUAACUUCAGUCAGGAUAUAGUGUAUUUAUGCAAGCUGAGACUGAUUCUUAAUAUCUACCGAUGUUUUUUCUUAGAUUUAAGUUAUAUUCAUAGUUCGCUCCUCCACUCCACUCCUCCACUCGCGUCGCUACGAUCGCGUCACCCUCACCCGCGCCUCACGUUUUAACUCCCUCUUCGACCCCAUCCUCUCCGCCUUCGCCGCUGCUUACUGGAAUAUUUCCCUCCUCGAUGUCGGCGAGCGCUGCUUCCAUUGCGGUGUGCUAGGAACAGUUCGUUCACCCCUUUGCAGGUUCUAGUUUGUUUAGAUUUUAUUGUUUGAUAUGUUUUUUUAAUGGGUUUGGAUUCAAUUUUUGUAUUAUUUUGAUGAAAAUUAAUGGAACUUAGCAAGAAAAACUUCAUGAUUUUUAUUUAUCGACAUAUUCUUCACCCGAAAUGUGUUGGAUUUCAUUGUCAUUUAAUUUUAUUUUGUUAACAAAACCUUAACUAGAGGUUGAUUUUAAGGAGUUCGUGGCGCAUUCGUCUGAUGUCAACUGUGUAACCAUCUGGAAGAACGCGAGGUGAACCUGUGGGCAAUUGGUAAACCAACGCCAUUAUUGGUGAGUCCAUGCUUGCUCUUUCUAUUUAUUUGUUUAUUUUCUCUAAUGUAUCUUAUUACACUCUGUGCUUCAAUUCCUGUGUGCUUCAGUUUCAAUUCCUUUUCUUUUUAUUUCUUGGAUCAUAGUAAACUAAAAUGAUCAAAUUUUAGUUAGUUGGUAGCUUAGAGAAACCGAAGUCUAUCAAGUCCUGGGUGUUUCCUUUUCAACAGUAGUUCUGAUUUGUUAAAGUGCUAAAAUGUGUGAUAAUUUAUUUGAAAUUCAUGCCAUGACUAUAAUUUCACAUGGUAAUACAGGUGUACAGAGGUUACAAAUAUCUUUUAUAUUGUUUUACUUUUUGUCUUUUAAAUGGUGUUUUCAUUCAUUAUGCUAUACAUGAUUUGGAUUACUUGAGUAGUUAGCUCCAACUUUUUCUCUGAUGAUUUUUUUAUGAAACAGAGUUUUACUAUUCAAGUAAUUUAUCUUUGAUACAAAUUUUUGUUAGCAGUGAUUGCAAAAUGUCCCUUGUUUUCUUCCUUUUUCAUCACUAGCAUUUGGAACUCCCAUGUUUUAAGCAAGUUUUAAUCAUCAGAACUAGAAAUAUUUUAGCUCUCAAUAAUGAAGUCAAUAAUGAAAAUGAAUCUGUUGUUAUUGUUGUGAAGAUCGUAAGGACUGUAGAGCAACAGGAGCUACUCUUUGAUUGCUGAAAGUAAGGCCUUUUGGGACAGCAAAAUAUCCUUUUUUUUAUUUGUCAAUCAUAAGCGGAAAGAGGCAGUAAAGAAACUUCUUAAUAACCUUUUGACCAGAUUAAGUAGAGUUUCUGUAGUGUUGGGACUACAUUACUAGCAAUCAAUCAGAUUCAAUCUUUUUUUUCUCUCUUCAUUUUUUAAAAAUUAUGAAGCUUGAGUUCGACUAUGUUUUUUUUCUCUUUGUUUUUUUAAAAAUCUGGUUCAUGUUUCAAUCUGGUAGGAGAAAGUUUAUUCUGUGUGUUGAUUGAGAAAAUGAUAAGCUCCUUUUCGUAGGAUUUUAUUAUCUAGAUGUAGGUUGUAGAUAGUAUACUCUGUUUCAUAGGCUAAUUUAUUUUUAUUUUUGUUCUAAUGCAGGUUUGGUUAUUAGUUAAGAAGAUGAAGUAACCUGUAUAACAAUUUGGAGACUUCAUUUCCUUUAUUUUGUCAAUAUUAAAAUGUGUACUUGGAGAAUAUUGAUAUUGUUUUGUUGUUGGGACUAAACUAAGUCUUUUUUUGUUUAUUAUGGAUAUUGAAUAUAUGAUACUUUUUAAAACUUUAUGAAGUUAUCAUUUUGUAUAUUCUCGAUUAUAUUUACUAAAAUGUGUACUUCAUUUUAUUCGAUGUCGACGUUUGUAUGUGUCUAAAUUUUCAUGACAUUUUGUGUUGACAUGACAUACUUAAUUUGGCUAAUUAAAUAAUCAUUUCGUUGGUAAUGUGUGAAUUAAUUCAUAUUCAUCUAAUUACAAUAUACGAUAUGCAUUAAAAUUUUAACCUUUUGCCGGCACUCUUUCUGUUAGGAUAAAUUCAAUUUUUUGUCGGCACUUUUUCCUGUCAGAAUAUCUAAUUGGGAGUAAUAAUUUUAAAUUUAUGGCCGGCAUUAACAAAUGCCUUUAAAGCUUUGCUGGUAGUAAAAAUUGUUUCUAAAAGAAAGAAAAGCCGACAGGAAUGAGUGCCGAAAAAGAGAAAUUAUUCGGCACUUAUGAGUGCCACUAUAUAUUUUUAUUAGUGGCACUUUAAGGUGCCGGUCAUUUAAUAUUUACCGGCAGUUUGUAAUAAGUGCCAGCAAAACAAUUACCGACCGAGUUUUAGCCAGCACUUGUGGGUGCCACAAACAACCGCCGGUAAAACUUUUUCCUGGCACUUUUCAUACUUUUCCUGGCUGUUUGAAUUGCCUCUAAAAGUUCCUUUUGGUGCAGCCGACAUUGAAGAAUUGUUUGUAGGAAAUUUUUUUUUUUCUCUUUACAGAAGAAUCGUUUGUAGAAAUUUUUUUUUUUCUCUUUACAGCUUGAUGUCUUGAUGUUCUCUCUUUUUUUUUAAUAUUUAUUUUGUCAUGCUUUGACUGUGUAAUACUUAAAUUUAUAACCAAGGGUUAAUGUUUAGAAUUGGUAUUCUAAACAAACUAAAUACAUAUACAAAUUUUUUUCCAAAAAAAUCAUAUAUAAAAGUAUUAUGAUUAGCACAAAAAAAAUUCUUUAAAUACUUAUUACAAAAAUAUUUCUAAAUUGGCAACCAAAUUGGAUUAUAUCAUAUAUAAUAGUAUUACGAUCAGGAUUGGAGGAAAAAAUAAAAUUUUAAAUUAUUCCCGACAAUAAAUUGGAUGCAAAAAAAAUAGUAUAUACAUAAAAAUUAAAUCAAAGAACUUACAAAAUCUGAGGCAAUCAAUCACAGAUCAACGGUACACAGAUAAACGGUACACAGAUAGUCAAUUUCCUGAAACAAAGUAAAAUUAUUCAGUAUUUUUUCAAAAAAAAAAUGAAAUUCAAACAAAAAUGAAAGGUAAAAACUAAAUCAGAAAAAAAAAUAGCACCAGCAGAGAAAUAGAGAGUUUUUACCGCAAAUAAAAAUUUUAAUAGAGGCAUAUUAUAUAGGCAAAAAAAAUAGCAUUCAAAGUAAAAUGACCCUUCGAAUUCAACAAAUACAAAUAUCAGUCGAAGAGAGCGUAAAGAAUGAAUCCGAACCAUUUUUGCACCUGGAGGGCGAUUAAUCGGCAGGAACGAAGCGCUGCUAACAAAAAAAGGCGCGACGGGAAGAAAGGCCGAGAAUGAACUUGACCCAAUUUUCUGUCUAGGAAGGACGUAUCAGGAGUCGAAGAGGCAUCUAGGGGGGCGAGCAGCAUUUAGGAAGGUAAUUUAGUAUGACAGGUAUGUCCCACAAAAGUACAAAAUUAAGCUAAUAUCGCCACGUGGACAAUCGGCAAGAAUAAAGCGUUGCUAACAAAAAAGGCGCGACGGGAAGGACCAAUAAUAAACUUAGCCCAAUUUUCUGUCUAGGGAGGACUUAUCAGGAGUCAGAGAGGCAUCUAGGGAGGCGAGCGACAUUUAGGCAUAGAAUAUUCUUUAUGAACAUAGAACAUAGAAUUAAUUCCUAAUUAAAUAUAGAAUAUUCUUUAUGAAUUAAUCGAGCACGUUCAUAAAGAAUAUUCUAUGUUUAAUUAGAAAUUAAUUCACUAAGAUAUUAAAUUACAACUACGUAUGUAACACGAGCUAGCUCGUUAAAAUAUAGAGCUGAAAAUUCAGCUCGUGUUUGGCUUCAAAGAGCUGGUUUGUUAUUUAGAUCGCCAACCCUACUAUUAGGUAAAUAAAUUGAAAAAAAAAAUAAAGAUUAGAAUUUUAAUCUAAUAAUUAAAACUCACAAAAGUGUGGAGCUACUAUACUAUUAGAAGUAUAUAAAUCCAACUUUGGAUUCCUAGGAUUUACUAGUUGACAGUGCUAAUAAUAUAGAUCCAAAGGUCCAAAGGUUGGAUGUGGGUUCUUCUAAUAGUAUAACUGCUCAACUCUUCACAAACUAUAGUUCUCUACACAUUUACAUUGGCCUAAAAUUCUAGUGGUAUAUAGUUCCAACUUCAGAAUCCUAAGGUUUACUAAUUGACGGUUCUAAUAGUAUAAGAUCCAAAGGCCCAAAAGUUGCAAGUGAGCGCUUCUAAUAGUAUAGUAACUCAACUCUUCACAAAAUAUAGAUUUCUUCAAAUUUAGAUUGGUCUAAAAUCCAAAUAAUAAAAAUUUAUAAUAUAUAUAGUUCGACCAAGGUGCUUUUGAAAGCACGAAGAUAUUGAUACUCUAACAUUUUUUGCUAUUAAAUCAACCCUAGUAAUUCUUAUAUAUAAGCAAUAUAGAGUCGAACACGAGAGAGCUAACCCUAGCUCGUAUUCAGCUCGUUAAGAUUGCUAACUGAAAAAUUCAACUUAUGUUCGACUCGUUUAUAUAACGAGCAAUCAAUUUUGAACUCAUUUUGAAGUUGAACACGAGCUGACUCGAAAUCAGCGAGCUGGAUUGCCACCCCUACUGCACACAUCGCAUGCAAGCGAUUUCUCCUAUCCGCCUAGAAAACAAUCAGAGCUUGCAAUAGUGCCAACUACAAUCAUCCAGGCACAUAAAUUCCAAGUUGGAAAAACCAUCCAGAGUUUGGAACACACAUGCAUUCACUGUAUAUAGAUAACUAUCCUAUAAUCCAGCCAGCAGUUCUACUUUUCCCCCACCCACCCAAUUAACUUCAACAUUCACCGAAAAGAUAAACAAACAAAAUAUAAUAUAAUAAAAUUUACAGCCCUCGGCAGAGAAAUGCAUUUAAAAAGGGCAAAAUAAAUCCACUUGAAAAUCCCCUAAAAUCUGAAGAACCAUUUUAAACUGAAACUAAGAUCAAACAGCAAAACCAACAAAACCAUAUAACCGUGAUACCAUUCCCAUCAUUCAAAAACCAAUUAAAAAGCUGCUAGUUUUCACUCUUCAUAUUUCCUUCCACAUGCACUAAUGCACUGAUAAAUAAGAUCUUUCCCUUUCACAACGGUUGGAUGAUAACACAUUGUGCGCACCAUCAUCAGAUUAACCCUUUCGAAUCCACUGAUUCACCACAAACUUGAUUAACAAGAGGCCGGGAGUGCUCUUAAUUAACCACAAUAAGUGGUGUAGAAGCUCUUGUGUGGGUAGCUUGGCUUUAAUAUGCAUAUUAUCAUCAUGGAUUCGGCGAACCAAUCGGAGGAGCCUUCAGUGAAUGCGCCUUCUGAUUAGCUGAAGCUUGCAUAGCAGAGGAAUUUUUGGCAUUGCUAGAAUCACCCGUCAUGGCCAUUGACUUUUUAAUCUGGAAACCAGCCCAAAGCAAUACAUCAUUAAUUAUGUGAAGACCAAAAGACUAGAAUGUGCAGUUGCAUGCAUGAGUAAAACAACUGUUAUGCAAGAGUAUAACAGCGAAUAACAGUUGUUGUGAGAAAAAAGGAGAGGGAAGAAAAAAAAAAAAAAAAAAGGAACAUGAAAAAUUGUAGCAGCAUGUUAGGACGGGACAAGGUCUGGGCAGAAUGUUCGCUAUCUUUCUCGUCCUUCAAAAGGUUGAAACCUUAUGCUCUCUCUAGAAUGGAGAUGCGAUAUCAUAAAACUAGAUCACCGGGGGGGUGCAAGGAUGUUGAUGUGGGAUUUGACAAGGGUAUUUAGCUUAACAGUUAAAUUGAUAGAAGCUGCGUAGUUUUUUCUGAGCUCAUCUGCAACCUUUCUUUUGCCUUACACUCAUCUCCAAUUAUUGACCCUUUUUUCCCUCUAAACUCAAACCCAAUUAUCAGGGUGAAGGAAUAUAAAGAUCGUCUAUCUUACCAAGGUUACUUUCUAUCUAUACACUAGAAAUUUAUAGCUACUUUUCAUAUUCUCAAGGAACUUUCAGUAUGUUGAGAAAAAUUAGGAGUAAAAAUAUGUAGGAAGACAUCCAUAUUAACUUAUGAGGCCUUUAGGAUAGAACAGUAAUAUACCAUCAACCCACACAUUGCAAUGAGGAAGAAUAGAUGUGCACAAAUCUCUAAAAAGCUACAGACGUAAACUUGUUAAAAAAUAAUAGCACUAAAAUCCGAUUGUGAAUUUGUGAUUAAACUAACUAAUUUUGUAACAGAAUUAUACAACAAACUCACAAGAAAAUCGCAACAGAAAACCUUGGAAUUGUAGAAGAAAAGGAAGCAAACAAACGAUCAAUCCAAGAGCAUGCAUAAUACUAAUCUAAGGCGUAUUUUUGACCUUCGUUUAGAAUUAACCGGAAACACCGCGCUAAAGUGCGACCGGAAUUCAUCCAGCAAGCAUGAUCAUGGAGAAGGUUGACAGAGAAACUUUCAACACCCGAUGGUAAAAAAUAAUAAUAAUAAUAAUAAUAAAUCAAUUGAGAGUGAAGAAAAUAAAAGAAAUAAAAUGAAGCUAAUAAUAAUUUUUUCCCCCUCCAGUCUAUUCAUGCAUAAUGAACAAAUGGAAGAGUAUAAAUAUAUACAGGUAAGUGGGAGCCGAACAAUGUUCAACUCCACGUCCUUUGUUAGUUAGCUGCUGAAACAGCAUAACGUCCGCUCAACUCACAAACAUUUUGAUUCACCUAAUAAAUAAGUAAAAUAAUAAAUAAAUAAAUAUUAAAUAGAAGAAAUAAAUAAUAAUAAUAAUAAUAAUUAUUAUUAUUAUAAAUAAAUGUGAAUUAAUAAAUAAACUCAAAUAAAAUUUUAGGUUUUCACAAAUAAUCACCCAAAAAACUCAAUUGUUGGAAUAAAAAAAUUAAACUCAAUAAUAAAAAGAAGUAAAACCACCGAAUGUUUAUAUUACGUAAUGAGCGAGAUGCCUUUAAGAUAGUUAACCCCACUUAGGAGCCAUUUGGUUGAAUGUAGUUGCAGAAACAGUGUAGUUGAAAAUACAUGCAGUUGCAAAUGCUGUAAUUGUAACUACACCUAGUUUGUUUGGUUUUAUACAGUUGCAACUGCUGCAGUUACAUUUUUUCUGUUUGGUAAUAUGAAGCUGAUAGUUGUAUUUGUAAUUUUUGUCAACUCUUCAGAUAGAGUGGUGAGAUUACCUUCACUAUGCAUAAAAUAAUUGUAUAAUUUUAUUAAUCAUUUAAACUUACUAUUUAUCAAUAAAUAAAUAGAUAUAUAUAUAUAAUAUUUUUAUUUUUUCAACAAUUCUUCAACUUAAUCGCACAUUUAAAAUUUAAUUUAUUUAAUUUUAAUAUUAAAUCAAAUUUUUAAAAUUUAAACAAUUCUCUGAUUUUUUUUAUCAAAUUUAAUAAUUAUAAUUAAUUAAAAACUUAUUAGUUAACAUUCACAAUCACAUUCUAUAAAAAUUUAGGCAAACUAUUUUUAAUUUUAAUAAAAUAAAUUUUAAAAAAUUUAAUUUUUUGCACAAAACUUGUAUUGCCUAAAAAAUUUUAUUAGUAUGAGUUUAUUUACAAGUAUUUUUAUAGAAUUAUAUAUAUAUAUUAUUUAUUUAUUUAUUAUUGUUAAUUUGUGGGUGAUCCUAAUCCUCAGCAACUGCUGCAGUUGGAACUACAACCAAUUUGGAUGUAGUUCCAACUGCAGCAUUUGGACCUUCUUGUAGUUGGAACUGCAGCAGUUGGACUCAACUACACUAAACCAAACAUAGGAAUUGAGGUUGUAUGCAUUUGCAACUGCACCGUAGUUGCAAAUGCGCGCAACCAAACAGCCCCUUAGUGUAAGGGGUUUCUAUCAGAAAAAAUCAGAGCUUUCUUUCACUCCGCCUUCAGCUACCCUACACACGGCAUAGAAUUCUUCGUCGUGGUUUUGUGUGUUAAUGCCUGUGCACAGUACCUUGAUUUUUCAUAAGAGUUUCUAUAGACAGCACACAUCUCAUAGUCGCAGCCAUAUACGAAUAAUCUUAUAUACGUGAUCCCCUCCAGGGAUGUAUAGAGUAACAUCUUACGAAAAUUACCACCUUCAAUUCCAUUAAGAGUUCUAAGCUCAACCUUAAUCACUACACAAAGCACUACUCACCAUAGGGAUGACAUUGGAGCUAAAGCUCCUCUAUAUAAAUUGUAUAAAGUGCACUUUGGCGGACCUGAUGGGUUGUUUUUCUCAUAUUGAACCUUAUUCAAAAGGUCUUUUAUCAUAAAGGUCUAGUUCCCACCGCAAGAAAGCCCUUUCUAGGCAAAGUUCUAUCCCACUCGAUGACUCCAUGACCUUACUUCUACUCAGGCCUUUCGUCAAGCAAUCUGUAAGAUUCUUCUUAGAUCUACUAAAACUCAAAGAAAAUAACAUCAUGAAAAGAUAACCAUCUAUCAAAAUUUUAUCUUAAUUUAAUACUAGUGAAGGAGCCCGCAAGUCGUAGCGGGUAGAAACUAUAAGAGUAAUUAAUAAUAAAAGAACAUCAAACAUUCUCGUGUACCUCACUUGCCACAAUCACUAAAGGUCCCUCACUAUUGGUGCUUGGGAUGGGACUGACGACGCCUUCUCUGGCGACGGUGACAGUGAAAAUGACAACGAUCCUUUCGACCGCGGCAGAGAGGGGAGGUGGUGUCACGCCCCGACACUGCCACUUUGGUCAGUUCAGGCACGUCAACAGACCGCCGAACGGACAGAAUCUCCCCUCACGUCCUAGGCGUCACAAUCCAUACAAUUCGCGAGAUUCCAACCAGGAACAGAAUUCAUACAUAAUUGCAUUCACCACAUUACUUUUACAUUUACAUACUUUUUACUUCCAAAUACAAUCAAGUUAUUACAAGUUGUUUCUUUCUUUUCUACACCCUCAAGCUAGGCCGACUCGGGGUACUGCUAUCUCUGCUCACGGUGGUAGGGCGCUCUCUACUAAGCUACGCCCUUUCCUCGCGCCGUCGCGCCGCUCACGUGUGGACGUGAAAAACGUGGGGUGGGAACUAUAUAAAUAGUUUCCGGUGGGUACGGCCACCCAAAGGAAGAGCUCGACCCACCAGGUUUAAAGGAGGCAAAUCAACAUGUUAGUCCAACAGAUAUCCACAUAUAAUUUAUGCAAGUAUUAAAUACAUGCGUAUGCCUCACAACAUGCAAUAUGCGAUUCAUACAAGUAAAUCUACUGAUUCUACUUUCUAUCUCACUAUCCACAGCUCAUCCAUUUACCAUUCUAUAUCAUUGGUCAUUCUCUGUCACUCGCCAUUUUCACCUAAGGUUUCCUUUACCUUAAACAACUAUACCACCCGACUCGGUCUCGAGUCAAUCAUCCGAGGAAUACCGCGUGCAUCCAGACCUGAGGAGAGGAACCUGCCAUACACCUCAGCCUUUAAUCCACAAACCACAUCGCCUAACGGGUCGCGAAGAACUACGUACACCCGUGGUCAGGGAUCCCCCGAUGGGAGAGGAACAUGCCGCAUACACCCGCAGUNCACCUCAGCCUUUAAUCCACAAACCACAUCACCCAACGGGUCGCGAAGAACUGCGUACACCCGUGGUCAGGGAUCCCUCGGUGGGAGAGAAACAUGCCGCAUACACCCGCAGCCGAGAUCCCCGAUAGGGAGAGGAACAUGCCACAUACACCCUAGCGAUCGAAAAUUCUUCCGGUGGGAGAGGAACAUGCCACAUACACCCACGGCCAAGAAUCUUCCACAACCAUAUUCUCGAAGUUCUUCCGGUAGGAGAGGAACAUGCCACAUGCACUCGUGGCCAACAACUAUCGAGAUCCACAAGUCCUGAAAUUCCGGAAUCCACUUUCUAUAUCUCAAGGGUUAGCCUCAUACCCUAUAAUGUCAAUCUCUCUAGAUUCGACUCAUGCAUAUCCUAGUGGCCAUUCUACCACAAUAAUCCACAACCUAGAUUUAACCACACUAGGUUCAAUACUACUACAUCUCAUAACCUAGGUUUAACCACACUAGGUUCAAUGUCAUUUCCACCUAGAUUCAUUCGACUCUAGAUUCACCGUUCAACCUAUGUUCAAUGACACUAGGUUCAAUACCACUCAUGCUACUUGUUAUUCUAGUUGUCCACACCUAGGAUUUAUAGUUUUCAUGCCACACUUAGGAUUUAUAGUUUUCAUGCCACACUUGUCGAGUUCUCUACUCUUCCUAGAGUUUAUCGACCCAAAUUCAACGUUCAUAUCUAGGCAUACAUAUAUCCACAUCCUAUAAGUCCACAUGCCUAUGUUUCUUAUCCAAUGGUAGUUAAUACAUAGCAUCUAUCUCAUGCCUUCAUAAUUGCAAUUAAACUACCAUUAUAUGCAUCAAUAAUACAACCAUACUUCUCUUUGGCAUGGAAGUGAUCUAAUCACUUCGGUGAAGCACAACCCACCUCACAAUACUCUUCGAUUGCUUGUAGACACUUAUAAUCAGGCUUCCGCGGCACACGUCGCCCGAUUAAGCUCGAACUCACAAUCGACCACCGAACACUCACCAAUUUCCAACCUAGAGUUGUCUGGGGCUCUCCUCUAUCCUUCAAUUAGAGAACCAAAGGAUCAAUUAGGUUCAAAACCCUUAAACCCCAAAAAUCCCAAUUUCCAAACCCUAGUUUUUCCCAUUUCUCCAAAUAUCCCAAAAAUUCAUGGAGUAACAUGCUUAUCUAGCUUAGAAUAGUCUAAGGAUCUCUAGAAUAUCAUGCAUAAAGGAUUUAACCAAAAUCCCAAACGUUUAACCCAAAUACGAAUCUUGAAUCGGAAGCACGCCGUACUACCAAGCGCUUGAGGACUCGAUCCACCGCUCCAUACGCGUUCCCGAGCUUGUUCUCCACCAAAACCCCAAGUUCGGAAGAGAGAUCUAGAGAGAAAACUAGAGAGAGAGAGAAGUUUCUCUCUCUCUCUCUACCAUGUGUGUGUGUGUUUUGGCUGAAGAAGGAGGAGAAAGGAGAGGGGAGGGUCUCCUUUAUAAGCCCUUAUGCUGGGCUUAUGCUGGGCUCCCCGCAUGCCCUUAUGCUGGGCUCCAAUUUACCAAAAUGCCCUUAUGCUGGGCUCCCCGCAUGCGCGGGGUCCGGACCCUGGCUCUAGGGCCCGGAUCCAGUAGUAGCUCCAACAGCUCAAAAACUGCAUUUUUCCCAAAAAUGUAAGUUCUUACUCCUUGAGCCUCUAAUCCAUUUCCAACCAUUCCAAAACCCUCAAAACACAUUUUUGAGCGUGUUUAAACCAUCCUCUCACUUAUACUUUGCCGGAUUUAGGCCAAAGUCCAAUAUAGCUUUCCGAGUUCCGUUUUCGUGCCCAACUCGCACCGAAAAUACUCAAAUGCUCCCCGAACUUCAUCGGAACUAUUUUAAAUAGCUUUUCAAGCUAAUAUCCACCGAAACUUCAUAACUAUAGAAGUUCAGUAUAUUACAGAUGGGCACGCAUUAGUGAGAGAGGGAGGAAAGGAGGCGACGGUGUAUAGAAAAAGAUGAGGGAUUGAGAAUUGAUGAAUUAAUUAGAGAUGAAGAAGUGCGGAUUGUAGAUGGCAAAGGAUAAUUUGGAUGCAUUAAUUAGAAGUUUGGUGGAGGGAAGGAGAAGGAUCAUAAUGGAUUAAUUGGAGAGAAAGAUGUGAGGAUUGUAGAUGGCAGUGGAAUCAUUUAGAUGCAUCAAUUGGAAGUUUAGUAGCGGAACCGUUUAGAUACAUUAAUUAUAUGCAUUAAUUGAAAGUUUAAUAAAGGAAAUGGGAAGGGUCACACGUUGGUGAGGGUGAAGGACAACUUGCCAUAGGGAAUGGGACGGGUCACACGCUAGUGAGGGUGAAGAACAACUUGCCACGUGGCAAAAAUAUUGAGAAUUUAUAUAGGUUAAUAGAUUAAUUGAAGAGAAAGAAGGAUUGUAAAUGACAGUGGAAUCAUUUAGAUGCAUUUAAUUGGAAGUUUGGUAAUAGGAUCGUUUAAAUGUAUUAAUUAGAUGCAUUAAUUGAAAGUUUGAUGAAGAAAAUGGAAAGGAUGACAUGCUGGUGAGGAUAAAAGACAACUUGCCAUAGGGAAUGGGAAGGGUCACACACUGAUAAGGGUGAAUGACAACUUGCCACGUUGAAAAAAAAUAUCAUAUAGGUUAAUAGAUAGAUUUAGAAGUAUUAAUUAGAUGCAUUAAUUGAAAGUUUGAUAAAGAGAAUGGAAAGGGUGACACACUGGUGAGGAUGAAGGACAACUUGCCAUAGGUAAUGUGAAUGGUCACACACUGAUGAGGGUGAAUGACAACUUGCCACGUGAUAAAAAAUAUUGGGAAUUCAUAUAGAUUAAUAAUAGAUUUAGGUGCAUUAAUUGAAAGAUGUGAGGAUUGUAAAUAGUAGCGGAAUCAUUUAAAUGCAAUAAUUGGAAGUUUGGUAAUGGGACCGUUUAGAUAUAUUAAUUAGAUGUAUUAAUUGAAAGUUUGAUGAAGAUAAUGGAAAAGGGUGACACGUUGGUGAGGAUGAAGGACAACUUGCCAUAGGGAAUGGGAAGGAUCACACACUAAUGAGGGUGAAUGACAACUUGCCACGUGAUAAAAAAAUAUUGGAGAUUCAUAUAGAUUAACAAAUUAAUAGAUUUAGAUGUAUUAAUUAGAUGCAUUAAUUGAAAGUUUGAUGAUGAGAAUGGAAAGGGUGACACGCUGGUGAGGAUGAAGGACAACUUGCCAUAGGGAAUGGGAAUGGUCACACACUGAAGAGGGUGAAUGACAACUUGUCACCUGGCAAAAAAUAUUGGGGAUUCAUAUAAAAGUUAAUAGAUAGAUGCAUUAAUUGAAAGUUUGAUGAAGAGAAUGGAAAGGGUGACAAGCUGGUGAGGAUGAAAGACAACUUGCCAUAGGGACUGGGAAUGGUCACACACUGAUGAGGGUGAAUAACUUGCCACGUGGCAAAAAAUAUUGGGGAUUCAUAUAGAUUAAUAAUUAAUAGAUAAUAGAUUAAUAGAUAAAUGUCUGCUAGCCUUAGAAUUCACCAAUUCUUUUUUACAAAAAUCAAUUACAGAUCGAGAGUUGCAACGAAUAGAAAUAGAUAGAAUAUAAGAGGAAAUCAAAGAAAUCAAUAACAAUAGGUUCUUGAGCCAUUCGGCUUCAAGACAAGUAGUGGCAAAGACAACCAACUCUACCUUUAUAGUGCUUCUAGCUAUUACGAUCUGUUUGGUUGAUUGUCAAAAAACUGCAGUACCACCAAGAAUAAAGACAAAACCAUAAAUAAAUUUGACAUCUAAAGAAUCAGAAAUUCAAUUUACAUUGUUGUAUCCCUCAAUUAUAGCAGAAUAGCCAACAAAUUUGAGAGAAUAUGAAAGAGUACCUUUAAGGUCACCAAUACUCUCUCCAGAGCAAUCUAAUGAGUCGUACUAGGAUUACUAGUAUAUCUAGUCAAUCUCGAUAUGACAUAGGCAAUGUCAGAUCUAAUCCUAUUCGGUAUAAAGAAGACUAACCUAAAAGUUGAGUUGAAAGGUUCACCCUCAAUCAUGUUGACUUGAGGUUUAGGAUAGUUGUUCUGAUUGUUCUAGUCUUCUUGUAGACAACUUUCUUCGAUAAAAACAUUUUGAAGCAAAAUAGUUGUUCCGGCCACAAACAUAACAUAAACCAUCCUUCUUAUUCCCACUAGAUUGGUUGGUAUUGAGCUUCUGCGUAUGGUUCCAAUUUCGGUUCCUACCCUCAAAAUCUUUACCCUUAGAUUUAAAAUUUCUACAUUUGGGUUUCAACUCAUGGCUUCGGUUCUGAAUCUCGGUCAGAUUUAUAUUAGAUAGGUUGCGAAUUGGUUUAAUGGUUUUAUAUUCUGAUCGCUUGAAUUACCAACUCUAGUUUAAGAGUUUCCUGAGUUCUUCUAACCUUUUGGGCAAAUCUAGACAAAAGAAAGGGGUAAUUUGUCUAGUAGGCAGGUAGCUUGAUAGAUAUCAUCUAAGGUUAAACCAUUCUUGGACAAAAUUCUGAAAUUGGUAGACCAGAUCAUUUAUAAGAAUGUUGUCUACCAUUCUAAAAAUAAAAUCAGUAAUGGUAAACCUAGCAGCACCUUCAAUUUUGUGAUGUAGGCAUCUUCUAGAGUAUUACCAUAAAUCUUUGAUAGUUUGGUAUUUCCUAUAAGUUUCAUAAAGUUCAUCAGAUAGGCAACUAAGUAUUCUAAACCUAUAGUGAAAUUUAAUUUCUCCGUGGAUUUACUACGUUCAAGUUCUGUAACUGAGAUAGCAAUAGAUUUAGAAGAAUCUGUAGAUUUAAAAAAAAAAAAAAAUCAGAGAGAGUUGCAGGAGUAGAAGAAAUUUUAGAAAUAGGAUAGGAAGGUGUUUUUCCAACUGCAGUUAUAAAGUCUAGGGAAAUAAGCCAGGUGUCAGGAAGUGAAUUCUCGAAAUGCGAAAAUUGGACUUCGAUUAGAAUCGACUGAUUGUCGAUUGGGUACGCUUCGGGAAGGCCGAAGACAUCAAGAAGGCCAAAAGUGCAUUGGAGAAGGCCUCCGAGAGCGACUUGUGAAAAUUCUGCAAAGUGCAAGAUUUUUGCUCUCGGGGACCGGUCCUUGGUGGGAGAGACCGGUCCCCGUAGCUUGGAAAGUGUGGCAGAAGGCUCUGCGCACAAAACUUGCUCUCGGGGACCGGUCCCUGACGGGGGAGACCGGUCCCCGUAGGUAUGUAAAUUGAGCAAGAGGCUGUCCUGCGAGAGUGUGCUCUCGGGGACCGGUCCCUCGUUGGAGAGACCGGUCCCCGUAAACGUGGGAAAGGGAGCAAGGGCCCUUUUCUAUAAAUAAGCCUCUCGGGGACCGGUCCCUCUUAGAGAGACCGGUCCCCGUAGCCUGAAUUUGCCCAAGAUGGGCUGUGCAUGGUUGGCAAAGUUGAGGGGCUUCUAUGCAUUUGUAGCAUAAGUAGAGGCUAUAUGAAAGAGUGUGCUCUCUUCUCAUUUUCUUCCCCAAACUCAACCCUAUCUCUCUCUCUCUAAACUCUCUUCCUCUCUCUCUAGAAGGUGAAGAAGAGAAUGGAUUUGGUGGAGGCGCAAACUAGGAGAAGGAUCUUCGUUGUCUUCUUCUUCCUCUUCACCCUUGGAGCUAGCUUUGGAGGUAAGCUUCUAAGCUCAACAAUGGUAGAUUUCUAGGGUUAGUUCCGUAUACUCUAGAAAUGGUUUUGUUGGAACCCUAUGAUGCUAAGUGGAUGAUUAAUGCAUGAAUCUAGGGUUUUGUUAGAGUAUUUUGCAAUAGUUGCAAGUUAGGGCUCCGAAAUGGGAUUUUGUGAUUUGUUGGGUAUUGAUCUAAAUUGAUCAAGUGUAAACCUAAUUACUAGGUGUUUAAACUUGUUGGCGAAGACGGUUCGACGAUUCGUCGAGCGGGUGAAAAAUUGUUGGCAAAAAGGACCUUCCGAGCUUCGUUUCCGCCUGGGAGGCCGAGACGACAUCGUAAAAUCGCCGAACUUCAUUCUUAGAGUCGUUACAACGCCAGAAGGUGGGUGGUGUCAUCCCGAAGCAACCGGGCUCCUCUUUAUGUCUUAGUGCAUUAUAACCUUACAUCUCUUUAUGUAUGCAUUGUAGGAUAAAUGUGCAUUUUCAUUUCCUUAUGCUUUCCUAGAUGAUAUCAUAGUGUGAGUUGAAUGCUUCAUAUAGUGAAUAGAUAAGGAUUGAGUCGAGACAUUGAAUCCUAUGGUGCUAAGAUAAGAGAUGGACUCGAUAAUUGAUAAAGACAUAACGAGUGGCAUGUAAAUAAUAAUGACAAAAGAACGAGUGGCAUAAAACUUAGUGUAAAGUGACACUUGACAUGUGAACUUAAGGAUAGGCGGAUUCCCUAGAGAUGAAUCAUUGAACAAGAACUUAGUGUAGUUAAACACUUGCAUAUGGACAUUGGGAUAGAUGGAUUCCCGAGUGACUGUCAACCCUAGUGGAUAGGGUAUCCUCGAGUUGAGAGGAUUGGAUCAUGCUCACUGUUUGUUCAGAGCUUGCGGUGGUCGCUCCACACAAGCAUGCGCUUCGAAGUUUGUCACACGAGGGAUAGCCUUAUGAGGUCCCGAGGAUAGCCUUAAUGGGGUCCCGCAAACGGUCUCGAGUUUGUUGAGCGAGUUGAGUUUCCUUACCAUGAGAUGCAUGUGAGUCGUGGGCGAACCUCAGGGUUGGCCAAGGAAUGGGUAAGUCAAGAGAGUUGAUGAACAAGUAAAUGGCAUUACUUCUUGGACAUAAUGGCAUGUUAGUUGAUUACCUAUCACAUUAUGCAUGCAUACAUUGAAUAUGAUUCGGGCAUAGUAGCAUAGCUUUCUUACUAUGUCGUUACUGUUUUCGCAUAUCUAUCUAUCUAUCUAUCUGCUUGUGCCCACUUGGACCUAGUGGGGAGAUCGGCGAAGUCGGCGGCCGAACCCACUGGGAACUAUGGACGAUAGUUCUCACCCCACUUUGUUGCAGGGCCGAGUACGAGCGCUCCGUGUGAGGAUCGCGGUAAGAGCUUAGCGCCCUCGCAUUAGUAGCUCUCCUACUGCAUUAGAGGUACCUACAUAUGUGAGAGUAGAUGAUGUAUAGGCUGUGAGAUGCAUUUUGGAGAGAAGAGAAUAAACUUGUUGUACCUAUAUUUUGGACGAACAAAAUGUGAAUCAAUUGUAUAAAUGGACAAAUCGUGAUGUAAUAGAUAGAACUCUCUCUUUUUGCACUUGUAUGUAUAUUUGUGUUACUUGCUCUUGUUGUUAAGCACUUGUGGUGCUUCUAUUGUCGUUGUAUGGAUCAUGUAUGUAUUGAAUUAUUCCCGGGCGAAUUCUUGUGCAUGAUCCCAUGCUUGAGCCUUGGGCGGACAGGGGAGGUGCUGUCCGUUCGCCGUCUGUUCGACGCGCCCGAACCGGACCAAUAGGUAGCGGUCUCGGGGCGUGACAGGUAAUUAUGGUAUCAGAGCAAGUAAAGAGAGGAAUCUAGGAUUGACCUAGAAGACCCUAGGAUGGAAACCUUAAGGCUAUAGGUGCGUAAGAGAGACGUGAACCUAUAACAGUGGCGGGAGUUGAUCGAUUGGGUCAGGAUUGGAGUGUGUUUCUAGUAGUGACUAGAAACGGAUUCAAGUGGUAUGAGUUCUCGACUCGCAGUGGUUGUGUUGGCGGCCGACAACAUGACACUAAGAGCCGGGAAUGAGUACACUUGUGUGCUUCCGCCUAAUUGCGAUGCCGAGUCGCGUUGUUCGUAAAUGCGAUGAGGUUUAGCGGGUUAGGGUGAUUAACCAAGUUGGUUGUGUUUCAGGAGCUGAUGUCCCCAAGGCGCUACACACGUAGGUCCGUUCCGGCACCGCCUCCUGAGGUGCCUGAGCAAGCUGGAUCUAGCGAAGUGCAAGAGUUACGGGCGCAAAUGACUGCGCUAGCCGGCGUGGUGCAGCGCCAAGAGAGUCGGUUCGAGCGGCUCCAAGAGCUUAUGGAGCGGCAGGUGGCGGCGGCUGCUGCGACGGCAACCGAAGGUCGUGAUCCGCCCGUCCCCUCGGCGCGCGUGCCUGAAGUGGCAGAGGGUGAGGGCAUAGCGGCAGUUCCGGUGGUGGCACAUUCCCCGCCGGCAAGUGUUCCUCCGGCGGCCUCAGGUUCGGCGACACCCGAUGCGGCGGCCAAGAAGGUGGAACGGGAGCAUGCGUUGGCGGCUCUCGUCAAGUUUAGGAAGUUCAACCCACCUAUUUUCAAGGGGGAAAAGGUGGAACCGUCGAUGGUGGAGUCGUGGGUUGACUCAGUAGAGACACUCUUUGAGGACCUGUCCACCUUGGAGAAGGAUAAGGUGUACCUCGCCACCCAUUGUCUCGAGAAGGCGGCGAAGGUGUGGUGGAAGCGGGUGAAGCGAGACCGGUCUUCCGACCUUCCGUCGAUGUUAUGGGAGGAGUUUAAAAAGACCAUGUUCGCAAACUACUUCCCCGACACUAUGAAACGGAAGCUGCAGGAGAAGUUUCGUAAGUUGAGACGGGGAUCGUUGAGUAGCGGACUAUGAACAGGAAUUCUCCCAUAUCAUAGACUCUGUCCCGGAUGUUGUUCGAGAUGACCGAGACCGAGCCGAUUGGUUCUUGCGAGGGCUUCGGCCGGGGAUAUAUAGGGCCGUGCAGCUAUUCAAGCUCACGACCUUUGCCGAGAUAUUUGACCGAGCAUUGUGGGCGGAGCACGGUGAUGCCCACGUGCGAGAAGAGCGCGAGCUGAUGGCCGAGUCGAAGGACAAUGGGAAGAAGCGUCAGGGCGGUGGUUCGGGGGGACAAUCUAGUUCCAAGAAGCCCCCGAAGUAUCCGCAAUCGCAAUCCAGAGGCCGUGGAGUGCCGCGGUGUGUCAUCUGUGGUGGAGACCACCCCGCGUCGCGUUGCCGUCAGCGGCAAGGAAAGUGCUUCAAGUGUGGGCAAGCGGGACACUUUGUCCGCGACUGUCCUGGGGGAGUCUUGCCUGCCCCGUCUGUCGCAUCGGCUCCAGCGACUCCGGCACAUUAUAGAGCCCACCGGCAACGGCAUUGGCUGGACGCGCGAUGGCGCCGCGUCAACCUGAGAUGACGCGAUCGGCCCCGAGCGGACGGGUAUUCGCCGCUCAAGCCGAGGAGCCUGUCGAAGCUGAGCGCCACGUUGUGGCAGGUAUGGUUUUAAUUAACGGAGUUCGUCCAGGGCUAUGUUUGAUACAGGUGCCACACAUUCAUUCAUCAGUAGAUCAUUUGCACAAAUGCAUGACAUUGGCAUUCAAUUAAGUAAGAGCACCUAGCGAGUAGAGGGCCCCGGGCGUGCGUUCGUUAUUCGCAAGGGAUGUCCGGCGUGUCCAAUUCAAGUGGGCAACUGGAUAAUGCCAAUUCGUAUGUUGAUGCUCAAGAGGUUGAAAGACUUCGACGUUAUACUGGACAUGGACUGGCUUUCGAAAUAUUACGCGUCUAUUGACUGCAGGCAUAGGGUGAUAACGUUUCGGGAGCCAGGAUAGGAGGAAUUCACAUACCGAGCGUGCAAGAGCUCAUGCUUCGCCGCGACGGUAUCUGCGACGAGAGCAAGGAAAUUGGUUAACAGCGGUUGCGUGGCUUACUUAGCGACCAUUGUGGAAAUGGAUCGAGUAGUUCCGGCACUCGAUGAGUUGUCGGUAGUUCGGGAGUUUCCGGACGUGUUUCCUACGGAGUUACCGGAGAUGCCGCCGAACCGAAAGAUCGAGUUUGUGAUAGACUUGAUCCCCGGAACGGCGCCGAUCUCAAAGGCCCCGUAUCGUAUGGCGCCGGCUGAACUAAAGGAGUUGAGGGCCCAACUGCAAGAUCUCCUCGACAAAAGGUUCAUCAGGCCGAGUGUAUCACCGUGGGGAGCCCCAAUAUUAUUUGUGCGGAAGAAAGACGGAUCGUUUCGACUCUACGUGGACUAUCGCAAGUUGAACAAGGUCACGAUCAAAAAUAAGUACCCACUGUCCCGAAUCGACGAUUUAUUUGAUCAACUACAGGGGUCGUGCAUGUACUCAAAGAUAGACCUAUUGUCCGGUUAUCAUCAGCUGAAGAUAAAGCGGGAGGAUGUGCAGAAGACCGCAUUCCGCACGCGGUACGGGCACUAUGAAUUCACGGUCAUGCCGUUUGGGCUCACGAACGCCCCGGCAGCAUUCAUAGACUUAAUAAACCGUGUCUUCAAUGGGUACUUGGACCGAUUUGUCGUGGUUUUUAUAGACGACAUUUUGGUCUAUUUUCGUAGCGACGAGGAGCAUGCCGAACAUCUAAGGCUAGUGCUUCAAAUCCUUCGGGAGGAGUUGUAUGCGAAGCUAAAGAAGUGCGACUUUUGGCUCCGGGAGGUCACAUUUCUGGGGCAUGUUAUUUCCGAGGGUGGUAUCUCUGUUGACCCUAGAAAAGUUGAGGCGAUUAAAGAUUGGCCGCGCCCGACUAAUGUCACGGAGGUUCGAAGCUUCGUGGGCUUGGCGGGCUACUAUAGACGGUUUGUGGAGGGUUUCUCGAAGAUCGUGAUUCCACUCACCCGUCUGACUCAGAAGGGCACCAAGUUUGUAUGGAGCGAGGAGUGCGACCGGAAUUUUUAAGAGUUGAAGGAGAAACUGACUUCGACUCCGGUACUUGCUUUACCGGUGCCAGAUGAGGACUUUGUGGUUUAUAGUGACACGUCUUAUUCGGGAUUGGGGUGUGUUCUGAUGCAAGACGGGAAGGUGAUCGCGUAUGCGUCCCGCUAGCUAAAGAGCUACGAGAAGAACUACCCUGUCCACAUCUUGGAGUUAGCCGCGGUGGUAUUUGUUCUCAAGUUGUGGAGGCAUUACUUGUACGGCACGCGUUGCGAAGUGUAUACUAACCACAAGAGUCUAAAAUAUUUGUUCACACAAAAAGAUCUGAACAUGCGACAACAGCGGUGAUUAGAGCUGCUGAAGGAUUAUGAUCUCGAUAUUCUCUACCACCCCGGGAAGGCAAAUGUAGUCGCUAACGCACUCAGUAGAAAGUCGGCGGAGAACCUCGCGAUGUAGGUCACGGAUUAGGAGCCCCUAUGGAAGGAAAUGGGACGGAUUGAUCUCGAGGUUGUAGCUCCCGAGAUUCCGGCUAUGUUGUCAACUCUCGUUGUCCAACCAACCCUGUUGGAGAGAAUUAAAGGGUUGCAACCUGCAGAUCCAACUCUCCAAAAGGUGCGGCGCGACAUCGAGAGUGGAUGCGGCGGCGAUUUCAGUGUAGACGCCGAGGGUGUGCUUCGGUUUCGGAACCAGUGGUGUGUACCAGACAAUGAAGAGAUUCGAAAGCUGAUUCUGAAAGAAGCACAUUGGUCGCCUUAUAGCAUCCACCCAAGAGACACCAAGAUGUAUCAAGAUCUAAAACAGCAUUACUGGUUGCCGGGAAUGAAAGUCGAUAUUGGACGCUAUAUGGCGGAGUGUCUGGUAUGCCAGCAAGUCAAAGCAGAGCGCCGAUUUCCAGCGGAAAAGCUGCAGAGCUUACCUAUCCCCGCUUGGAAAUAGGAGGAUAUGACCAUGGACUUCGUGGUCGGCUUGCCUCGUUCAUCGAGUGGCCACGAUGCAAUCUGGGUGAUUGUGGAUCGUUUGACGAAGUUGGCACACUUUUUGCCGAUCCACACGACUUGGGCAGGUGACGGGCUGGCGCAGGUAUACCUGGAUGAUAUUGUGAGGUUGCACGAGGUGCCGAAGUCGAUUGUAUCGGAUCGAGACCCCCGGUUCACUUCGCAUUUUUGGAAGAGCAUGUAAGAAGCGUUGGGCACACGGCUCGAUUUCAGCACCGCUUUUCAUCCUCAGACAGAUGGACAGUCAAAGAGGACUACAGAUUCUAGAGGAUAUGUUGCGAGCGUGUCAUUGACUAUAGGGGUGGUUGGAGUAACCACUUGCCAAUGGCCGAGUUCGCUUACAACAAUAGUUAUCAGGCUAGUGUAGGGAUGUCACCGUUCAAAGCUCUUUACGGGCGGAAGUGCCGAUCUCCUAUCCAUUGGAGUGAGGUAGGCGAACGUGCGGUAUGUUUUGCGAGAGGCGGAGGAGAAAGUCCGCCUUGCUCGCCAAAGAUUGCUCAUGACGCAAUCUAGACAAAAGAGUUACACAAAUAAGCACCGUAGAGAUUUGGAAUUCGUGGUGGGCGACCGCGUCUUCUUAAAGGUGUCGCCCACGAGAGGCGUGAAGCGGUUCGGAGUGCGGGGAAAAUUGAGUCCCCAAUAUAUUGGGCCGUACGAGGUGUUGGAGUGAAUUGGUGCAGUGGCUUAUCGGCUAGCGUUGCCGCCGAAGCUCGCCGAUGUUCACAAUGUCUUCCAUGUCUCCAACCUCCGCAAAUAUAUCCACGAUCCCGAGCAUGUAUUAUCAUAUGCACCGCCGGCAUUGCGCGAGGAUAUGAGCUACGAGGAGUUUCCAACGUUGAUUAUUGCUCGAGAAGUGCGAAAGUUGCGAAAUUCCCUACGUCAAGGUUCGGUGUACCAAUCAUGACGAUCGCGAAGCUACGUGGGAACUAGAGGACACAAUGAAAGCGCAACAUCCUCACUUAUUUGAGGAUUAAGAUGAGGUAUGAGUUAAGUUCAAGUUUUAGUUGAGAUUUGAGUUCGUUUCGAGGACGAAACUCUUUUAAAGGUUGGGAGGAUGUAAGGAAGUGAAUUCUCGAAAUGCGAACGUUGGACUUCGAUUAGAAUCGACUGAUUGUCGAUUGAGUACGCUUCGGGAAGGCUGAAGACAUCAAGAAGGCCAAAAGUGCAUUGGAGAAGGCCUCCGAGAGCAAGUUGUGAAAAUUCUGCAAAGUGCAGGAUUUUUGCUCUCGGGGCAGGUCCCUGGUGGGAGAGACCGGUCCCCGUAGCUUGGAAAGUGUGGCAGAAGGCUCUGCGCACAAAACUUGCUCUCGGGGACCGGUCCCUGACGGGGGAGACCGGUCCCCGUAGGUAUGUAAAUUGAGCAAGGGGCUGUCCUGCGAGAGUGCUCUCGGGGACCGAUCCCUCGUUAGAGAGACCGGUCCCCGUAAGCGUGGGAAAGGGAGCAAGGGCCCUUUUCUGUAAAUAAGCCACUCUCGGGGACCGGUCCCUCUUAGAGAGACCGGUCCCCGUAGCCCGAAUUUGCCCAAGAUGGGCUGUGCAUGGUUGGCAAAGUUGAGGGGCUUUUAUGCAUUUGUAGAAUAAGUGGAGGCUAUAUGAGAGAGUGUGCUCGCUCUUCUCAUUUUCUUCCCCAAACUCAACCCUAACUCUCUCUCUCUCUCUCUCUCUCUCUCUAAACUCUCUUCCUCUCUCUAGAAGGUGAAGAAGAGAAGGGAUUUGGUGGAGCAAGCUAGGAGAAGGAUCUUCAUUGUCUUCUUCUUCCUCUUUACCCUUGGAGCUAGCUUUAGAGGUAAGCUUCUAAGCUCAACAAUGGUAGAUUUCUAGGGUUAGUUCCGUAUACUCUAGAAAUGGUUUUGUUGGAACCCUAUGAUGCUAAGUGGAUGAUUAAUGCAUGAAUCUAGGGUUUUGUUGGAGUAUUUUGCAAUAGUUGCAAGUUAGGGCUCCGAAAUGGAGUUUUGUGAUUUGUUGGGUAUUGAUCUAAAUUGAUCAAGUGUAAACCUAAUUGCUAGGUGUUUAAACUUGUUGGCGAAGACGGUUCGACGAUUCGUCAAGCGGGUGAAAAAUUGUUAGCAAAAAGGACCUUCCGAGCUUCAUUUUCGCCUGGGAGGCCGAGACGACAUCGUAAAAUCGCCGAACUUCAUUCUUAGAGUCGUGACAAUGCCAGAAGGUGGUGUCAUCCCGAAGCAACCGGGCUUCUCUUUAUGUCUUAGUGCAUUAUAACCUUACAUCUCUUCAUGUAUGCAUUGUAGGAUAAAUGUGCAUUUUCAUUUCCUUAUGCUUUCCUAGAUGAUAUCAUAGUGUGAGUUGAAUGCUUGAUAUAGUGAAUAGAUAAGGAUUGGGUCGAGACAUUGAAUCAUAUGGUGCUAAGAUAAGAGAUGAACUCGAUAAUUGAUAAAGACAUAACGAGUGGCAUGUAAAUAACAAUGACAAAAGAACGAGUGGCAUAAAACUUAGUAUAAAGUGACACUUGACAUGUGAACUUAGGGAUAGGCGGAUUCCCUAGAGAUGAAUCAUUGAACAAGAACUUAGUAUAGUUAAACACUUGCAUAUGGACAUUGGGAUAGGUGGAUUCCCGAGUGACUGUCAACCCUAGUGGAUAGGGUAUCCUCGAGUUGAGGAUUGGAUCAUGCUCACUGUCUGUUCAGAGCUUGCGGUGGUCGCUCCACACAAGCAUGCGCUCCGGAGUUUGUCACACGAGGGAUAGCCUUAUGGGGUCCCAAGGAUAACCUUAUGGGUCCCGCAGACGGUCUCGGAUUUGUUGAGCGAGUUGAGUUUCCUUACCAUGAGAUGCAUGUGAGUCGUGGGCGAACCUCAGGGUUGGCCAAGGAUUGGGUUAAGUCAAGAGAGUUGAUGAACAAGUAAAUGGCAUUACUUCUUGGACAUAGUGGCAUGUUAGUUGAUUACCUAUCACAUUGUGCAUGCAUACAUUGAAUAUGAUUCGGGCAUAGUAGCAUAGCUUUCUUACUAUGUCGUUACUGUUUUCGCAUAUCUAUCUAUCUAUCUGCUUGUGCCCACUUGGACCUAGUGGGGAGAUCGACGGAGUCGACGGCCGAACCCACUGGGAACUAUGGACGAUAGUUCUCACCCCAUUUUGUUGCAAGGCCGAGUACGAGCGCUUCGGGUGAGGAUCCCGGUAAGAGCUUAGCGCCGUCACAUUAGUAGCUCUCCUACUGCAUUAGAGGUACCUACAUAUGUGACAGUAGAUGAUGUAUAGGCUGUGAGAUGCAUUUUGGAGAGAUGAGAAUGAACUUGUUGGACCUAUAUUUUGGACGAACAAAAUGUAAAUCAAUUCUAUAAAUGGACAAAUCGAACUCUCUUUUUGCACUUGUAUGUAUACUUGUGUUACUUGCUCUUGUUGUUAAGCACUUGUGGUACUUCUAUUGUCGUUAUAUGGAUCAUGUAUGUAUUGAAUUGUUCCUGGGCGAAUUCUUGUGCAUGAUCCCGUGCUUGAGCCUUGGGCGGACAGAGGAGGUGCUGUUCGCUCGGCAUCUAUUCGACGCGCCCGAAUCGGACCAAUAGGUAGCGGUCUCAGGGCGUGACACCAGGCCUCUAACUAUUCUUGCCACCUCACAAAGCCUAUCUCUCUAAACUUUUUAGGCUUCGGGCUUAAGACUAGAAGUGUCCUCAAAGACUAUUUUAGAUAAUCAACCCACAGCCUUCUCCUAUCAAUCUGACUAUUAGAUGUAUACACAAAAGUGUAAAUCAAAUCUUUAUUCAGCUUCAUACUUUCUAUAGCAGCCAAGAGUUAACAUCUGGUCAGUCUUUUCGAUAACUCUGACUGUUGUUAGGAUAUUUGGAUCCCGCAGCACUCAGAUUCUCACUUGCUUCGUGUUGUCAUUCUAUUGGGAGGCUCGUUACUUCAACUAGUCCCCAUGUUCUUCGAAUGGAUCUCUUAGUUGUUGAGAGGGUUGCCCAAAAGCGGUAUAUAAGGCGUACCCAGUAAAGCUUACAAGUAAACCAGAUAUGGAGAUGGCGACUAGGGUUGCUGUUUCCAUUUAGAUAAUUUCAAGAUCACAAUAGAUCUACGAUAAGAUCGUUUAUUUAUAUACUGGUCGAUCAUAUAAUAGAAAUGAUGAUUCAUUCAGAUCAAGCUUCCUUCCUAUUAAUCUGGAAGUUCUUCUCAGAUACAAGGAAAUGAUUCAGUUCUAGAGCCAAAUAUCAUAGUUCUCAAAUGAGCAAUCGAAAAGAUUCGAGAGCAUCCUCGAGGUUAGGUACUCUUCCUCAUAGUAUCUACUAUUUAGAUCAUAUUUAAUGAAAGAAAGAAAACAUAGUAUGGAACUUUGUUGGAUUAGGUCCAAGACAAAGAUUCUUUCUUGACCAAACUACAAGUAUGGAACUCCAUAUGCUUAUUACUAAACUUGUUGAAGAGAUGAAACAGAACCAAGGUCUUAUCUUUUUUAUCAGAGGUUGAAUCGAUCAUCAGAAGAAGAAGUAGACCAAAAAUUAGGAUACAUUCUGGGAAAAUGAAACUAAGUUGAGAAAAUGAAGAAAUUAAGGUUGACUAGAUCGAGUGGCAAAAAGGGUUCAAAAAACCUUUUUAGAAAGUAAGACAUGUACCAGAAUAUUUUCAGGGUUCAAGUUUUAAAAUAUUAUUUUUUUAUCAUAGUUGGUUCAGCACCAAAAAGAUGACCCAAACAGUUUAUAAUGUUUGAUUUCAAUUAGGUGCUUUCAAGCGAAGUUUAUAAUGUUUGAUUUCAAUUAGGUGCUUUCGAGCAAAAUAUUGAUGCAAUCAAACAAUACAUAUAUUGCAAGCAUAGUUAUAAAAGAAAUUAAAACAAUAAAUAAAGCAAAAAUUUAAAAUUUGGUGCUAUUGGUUAGAGAGACUUGCUUAAGAGCUAUGAAAGUUCUAGCUAGCUGUGGGCUCGAAUCCAACAGAAAGCAAAAACAAAAUUUUUUUUCCUUCUUUACUGUGACGAAAACAGUAUUUUUUUUAUUUUUUGAAUAGUAGAAAUCAAACCUAUUUUUUCAACAGUAACAAUUUUUUUAAACAGUAUUACACAGUAAUUUAAAAACCCUUUUCUUUUGAUAAAAACAGUAAAAAGCCCUUUUAUUAUUUUUUUUUUAAAAACGGAGAAUAAAUAGCAAAAUUCUAUAAUUAGAAUAGGCAAUAAAUUAAACAAUAUGCAAUUGCAACUUUGCAAGUUAAAGAGCUAAUCCCGAAAAUUUAUGUUAAAUGCCAAUCACACAAAUAACUUACUACCUAAGGUGUAUUUCCAUCUUUUGUGCGGGAUUAACCGAAAACACCGCCCCAAGGUACAACCGGAAUUUGACAGAGAUUCUUUCAACACCAAGUGAUUAAAAACAGUAGAGAAAGAAUGAAAGAAAAAGUAUCAAAAUAAAAGGAGUGAUAUAUUAAGAAAAUCCAUAUUUUUUUCCCUCUUUUUCUCUCACUGUGUACAUGUCAAAGAGGGGAUAAAGGUUGCACUUAUAUAAUGCAUUAAGGAACGUUGGACAAUGCUUUCUUUACCCACAUCUUGCACGAGUCUCACGCUUCCAUUUCGCACAAGAAGCGGAUCCAUUUCCGCUUGAGAAACGAAACAAAAAAUAAAAUAUAAUAUAAUAAUAUAAUAAAAAUAAAUAAAGAAAUUCAAAAUAAAAAUUUGGGUUUUCUCCAACAAAACUUACCACAGCAAGCCUCUCCUUGUGAAAAUCAUUUGUGAUCUGAAAACAAUUACCAAAAAACCCACCAAACAUUAGAUUAUUAGCGUCACUAUAUAAAGAACAAGAAAACAACACAAUGACUUCCCCUCAAACAUUUACCUGCUUCUUGUAGCAUUUGAUUUCAUCUCCACCAAAACCAGGUAGUGUCAUAUUCCAGUUUCUCUCUGCAAGCAAAAAACGUCAACGCUCGAAACCCUAUACGAAAAACUACAUAAAAGAGAAAUACUAAGGCCUGUUUUGGUAUUGUAGUCAUUUUUUUGUUUUCUUUAAUAGAAUUUCUUGUAAACUUAUGUGGGAAUGGACAGUGAGUCGCUAACAGUCCUUGUAACCAAGGUGUUGUUCUGAAACAAAAAAAACAAAAAAAAAAAAAACUUGGAAAAUCUGUUUUUUGGCUUCUUUGGGUAUUUUAAAGGAGAAGUUAGCGUCCCUCACCUAACAAAGGUGCAUUGCAAGCUAACCAACAAGACUAGAAAAAUUCAUCUACCGGCACAUCCAAUUACACAUUAUUUGUGUUAAAAAAAAACUUGCAACAAAACCAAACAAGGCCUAAGAUCGCAAUAAGCUAAAGGAAAACCAAAACCCCUUACCAACAUAUAGUAGUAUAUCUUUUACUUCUAACAUGUUUGACUUUCGAUGCUUUGCCAAGGAGCAAGCAAACAUUGUAGUCUGCUCAUAUAAAGAUAUAAAAAGAAACGUGAUAAGCACGAACUCAGUAACCAAAAGAAAAAAAAAAGAGAGAAAUGCAACAAAUGAUUGUGAUGCAAUUCAACCAAGUCCUAAGCGAGCUUUCGAAAUGAUUUCAUAUCAAGAUUCCCCUUUCAGGAUUUAUAUAUCAUCAAGACGUAUUCCACAUUUCACGGCCCUACACAAUAACAGAAAGCAGUUGUAUUUUCAAGUAUAGACAUGAAAACUUACAGAUUCAAUAAAAUCUUCAGCAAUCUCAAUAAGAACAUCUUCGACUUCAGCAUCUAACUUCUCCGACGGAUCAAUCUGCACAAUUACGAAGAAUCUGUGGAUAAGGUUGAAGAUAAUGUUGAUCAAUUCCACAAAUUAGGGCUGCCAAUUGGUCACAGAAGGUCAGGUCAUUCAAGUCAAUUCCACUAUGACAUCAAACCAGGACCGAUCCAAACCUGACUCAACUAAUCAACAAGUCGGGGUAAGCAUGUGGGGUAAACGAGACAGGCUAAAAUGAGAAUCUUAUCCCUUAAAACAUAGAAGAAUUCAUUAAAAAAAAAAGGUGGAAUCUCAGACAUCUUUAAGGACACUUCAUAGAAGUCUUCUUAUUCAAACAACUUGGUUGCUCUUACUAUCAAAAAACAAGAAGAGAGUCCAGUGAAGUUGGAAGAAAACAAGUCUAGACUCGAGACGCAAUGCAUGCGGCAAUGCAUGCUUACUAUCAUUAGAAGGGAAAGACUGAUAUAAGAAUUACAUCUUACAUAAAGAAUAUGAGUAUGUGAAAGAACAGUCAACGAAGCCUCAAAAUUCAAAGAACCAAAAGAGAGAGAGAAAAAAAAAGAAGAAAAGACCAGGCUAACAUGAAGAAGGUAGUGUAAAAACAGAUGAUCCUUUAUCACAAUAAUCUAAGUUUUCUUGUCGGACGAAUGACUUCUUGCUACAACAAAUUAGAUCAGAUUGAUGAUGAAAUGUCAAAACACAAAGGUAAAAAUUUAUGAAACCCUCUCAAUUGAUAUUUUUUUAUUUCAUUCAGUUGAAUUGGAAUUGAGUUAAAUUCAACAGCUGUUUCAUUAGAUUUAACAGCUUUACCUGCUUAUCAGCUGGCAGAACAGCAAGUUCUGUAACAAUAAUUAUCCAAAAGUUAACAGAACUGUUAAUUUAAUUAGGACUCCCUGUUCAAUCAAUUGACCUAACUUGAAUUAAAAAAAAAAAGAAAAAGAAAAAGAAAAAAGAAAACAAGUUGAUGGGGGUGAUCAAUCACACCAAAAAAAAAUAAUAAAGUGAGGACCGUCUAUCUAACAAUGGGCUACACUUGAAGGGUCUAAAUACAUAUUCACCAAAAUGUAAUUUGGAAACAUAAAAUUUAGAGAAAAGGAAAGCACCUGAGAAACCAAUUCACGGAUGCUUCUCUUGCUAAGAAUGUGAUUAUCAGAUUCUACAUCAUCUGUACUAACAGGAGUGACUGCCCCAGACUGCACAACCCCAGCUUGCGCCAGAGGAGCACUAGAUUUAUGGGCUGUUGAUCCAACAUUUCUCGCAGCCUGUUGUAGAGUUAGGGCUUGCUGGUUCCUAAGAGCUAGGUACUGUUGAUGCUCUUGUGACAACUGUGACCCUGCAGAUGUUAGCUGUUGCGGCUGUUGCAGCAAUUGCUGCUUUUGUUGGAGCUGCUGUUGCUGGAUCUGCUGCUGUUGAGAAGAUGAUAAGCUCUGUUGUUGUGGAGUUGUUGAAGGUGAUUGUAGGAGAUGGUACGGUCUCGGUUGUAGAACUUGUGGCCUUGGUUGGGGCCUAAGUGAAGAAGCAGAAGAAGAAGAAGAAGGCACGGAGGGUGCAUGCAUUAGCUUUCCCUGGCUUGAUACCAACGGCUGCUGCAUAUGUUGGCUUUGUGGAAAAGCUGAUGCAGAAAUAGGAGAAGGCAAUGAGGGGGCUUUUGAUAUACCAUGACUAGGGAAUUUCUGUAUAAAAUAGGAAAUUAAUAAGAUGAGAGCACAAAAUAAAGCAAUUUCGUAGAAAAAAAAAAAAAUUAUUCAGAAAACUCAUGCAAUGUUCUGCUGUAGCACUAAACCAAGCAGGAAAAGACACCACAUAGAAUUUAGAUGAUUUUCGUCAAAUUAACCAAUAUCAAUCUUUUGAGGCGGUGGUUACUUAUCACACCUUAAUGCAUUUCCUGGUAUCUUUGCAUGCGAUGUUAAUUACAGUUUGACUUAACUACAAUUAUAAGUUGUUUUCAGGUAACACAUGAGCAAUGCAACUUCCCAUGCAAACUGCAAAGUGGAAAAUAUUGAUGGAGACGAACUAAAACAAUCUAACUUUUUUCUCAUAGGAGAAGAAGAUUAGUUGGUUUACUUGUGAAGCUAACGCUUGACUAGCAGACGGAGAUGUUGAUCUUAUUGGGGCUUGAAUAAGUCUCUGUUGCUGGGGACCAGAAACAGCAGUCGGUCUCAUUGGAGCAGCAGAGCUAAGAGAACCAAUCAUACCAAUAUUUUGAAUACCUGGAGUAGAUUGUCUGACCUGAAAAACAAAGUUACAUCAAGUAAAGAGUAAAAUGAUACUAAAAUAUAUAAAGAUCCAAUUUCAAACCAUUUUAUGUACUUUUAAAGCAUUUGAUAUUGCAUUGGCACAGGAGACUUCGUCUUAAAUAAAGAUAUAGUAUGGAACCACACUCAACCUUAAAAAGCUAAAACGAACACGGAAAAAAAAGAAAAUCCCUACAAAAAUUUUCCUCCUUUUAAUAAAUGCUAACUAAAGCCAAUGCCAGAUCCAAGAUUGGAUGAAAUAAGUACGAGUUGGUUUCAGUUGGAUAAUUGACUAUUCGAUCAUAGAGAAUGGUUGCUCCAAAGUUAGAUAAUUCUAUCAUAUCACAAUAGUAUAGAGCUACAGAUUCAAAAAAAUUAAAGAUAUAGCUUAGCAACACGCCAAUUUUAUUUGAAUUGCUUUAUAACGCAUACAAAUCUUUUCAGACAAACAAAUCUUAUAAUAGUGGAUCAAGAAAAGAGGAGAUUUGACAUAAGAAUCCUGACUGUCUUGCAGUCAACAAUAUCAAAAUCCAACAUUAUCUUAUGAGUUUAGGAUACUUGGUAUUUCUUGAUCCCAUAUUUGCCAAAUUAAUAAGUCACUCGACUCAUUACUAACAAUGGCAUUUGUUUAUUCUCGCUUCUUUGCCCUACCUCCCCCGCAGAUAUUAGUAGAAAACCCAAUUAUUGAUCACUAGGCUCAAAUGAAAAGUAAGAGAUUUGAGCUGCUGAGCCUUACUUUCUCGCUGUUAAAAGCUUCUAAUCGUUGCUAUAGCUUAAGGUUUUCGAUUUAUUGGUAUGCCCUCGUCACAUAUAUGCUAAGAAAAUAAGUCACUAAUCUCAUCUACUAAGAAUAGCAAGCACACGUUCUCUCUUCUCGCUGCUCGAGCUUGCAAAAGAAUUUGCAGAAAGAAUUUGCAGAAAGCCCAAUUUGGUGAUCACCGGACUUGCAAUUUUCAUAUUAGAAAGUUCAGAGGAGAGCAAAUUAUGGUAAAGUGAGUUAAAUUAGAGAGGCAAAAGAUCAAGCAUCACCUGAGCAUUGGAGGUAGGCGAUUGCUCAGGCCCGCGAUUCAGGGAGCCAAACGGCUGGUUGAAGGAUGGCGAGGGGCCGAAGGAGGAGAAGGCCAUGGGAGGCUGCUGAGACCGCGGGAGGUGCGCUGGAACCCCGGUGGCGAGGCUGCCUCUUGGAACCGUCGAAGGGGUCGGCGAUGGCGAGGGCACUGAAGCAGAAGAAGAUGAUGACGGCGACGACGGGGAAGAAGCAGCAGCACUAAUAGUAGCAGCAGCAGCAGUAGUAGCAGUAAUAGUAUUAGAAGGGGCGGAAGAGGAGGAGGAGGAGAGAGAAGCGGAAGGGAAGUGGUGGGCGAAGUGGGGGAGCAACUGGGGGCGCAUUGGGGAAAGAGGCGGCCUCUGAGGGAGCUGGUGCAGGGUUUGGGGCGGGGUUUGGAUUUGGGGUUGGGGGACGCUCGGAGGGUCUUGGCUAGUAGUUUGGGAGGCAGAAGGGACGGCAGAGGAGGAGGGUGGAGAGGGCACGGGGGCCGACGAGGGCGGCGGCGGAGGUUGGAGUGGUGUAGGGUUUGGGGCCGGAGAGGUUUUUCACUUUGUUAAUUGGUUUAUCAAUUUAUCAACUUGAUGGAGUUGUCCUUUCGUUGAGGCACGUGUGGCGCACGUGACAAGACGGACGUCCCUGGAUUCGAAUUAUAGCCCACGUUUUGAACGGCCUAAUACGAGCUUUGGGAACAGGCCCGGCCCAGGAAACUCGGACCACACUGGCAUUCAAGCAGGACCUGGUCGCCAGCCUCUGCGGACCGGCGUUUUCCCCAAGCGAGGGGGUCCGCCUCAGCCCCCGCGCCACUAACCACUGCUAGUCGCUGCGAGAGUACUAAAACACCCCCGAUAGCCGCAUUAGGGCUUUUUUUGCAUUUAGACCCCUGGCAAAUUUUUAUUUUAAAAAUAGCUCUGUCAAAAUUUAAUUUGCAAAAAUAGUCCUGAAUCUGCCACGCAGGUACCACGUCAGUGCCACACGGGCAGGACCGGGCCGUGUGUUAAGGUGAACACGGUGAACCAUUCACCGUGUUCAAACACGGUAAAUGGUUCACCGUGUUUAGUAUGUAUUUUUUAUAUAUUGAAAAAAGGAAUAAGGAAUAGGAAUGUCAAUAGGUAUGGAUAUCCGAAAUAUUAUCCGAAUUCAAACCCGAAUAAAUUAUAUAUAUAUACGUAAUUUAUUUUUGUUUAUUUAUACAAUAUAUAAAAUAUUUAAUAAUUUUUAUUCCUUAGAUCUUCAUCCAACGGUAUAGAUUUUUAAAACCCGCUGGGUUGGAUGAAGAUCUAAGAAAUAAAAAUUAUUAAAUAUUUUAUAUAUUGUAUAAAUAAAUAAAAAUAAAUUUUAUAUAUAUAUAUAUAUAUAUAUAUAUAUAUAUAUAAUUUAUUCGGAUUUGGAUUCGGAUAAUAUUUCGGAUAUCCAUACCUAUUGACAUUCCAACUCCUUAUUCCAUUUUUCAAUAUACAAAAAAUACGUACUAAACACCCCUCUUUUCAAUAUAUAAAAAAUACGUACUAAACACGGUGAACCAUUCACCGUAUUUGAACACGGUGAACCAUUCACCGUGUUUAGACACGGUGAAUGAUUCACCGUGUUCAAACCUAAUACCCCGGCCCCAGCCCUGCUCGCGUGACGCUGACGUAGCGCCUGCGUGACAGGGACAGGGCCAUUUUUGCAAUUUUAAUUUUGAUAGGGCUAUUUUUAAAAUAAAAAUUGCUCAGGAGGCUAUUUGCAAAAAAAGCCCGCCACAUUAUAAUUCCAGCGCUUCGCUUCGCUCCGCAUUCUCCGAACCAUCGAAUUGGAUGAAAUUGCAAUCUUUUUUAACUGGCUGUAAUUAAAAAUUAAAACUAUACAAAAAAGGCUCAACUAUAAUAGUUGAAGCUAUGUCUAAAUUAGUCAUAAUUCUAACUACGGCAGUUGUACAGAUUAACUUAUAAAAAGUAAACUUAUCUUUCUAAUUAUUUUUUAAAUAUAAAAUAUGAAUCAACUAGGAUUCGAACUCGGGACCUUGGAUACUGUAAGGACUGAGAUUUUUUACUGUGCAACUAAACUCUCUGUUGACGAUGUUUAUGUGUGUAAUUUAAUUACAUAAGCACUCGUCAAGUUUCAGGAGANGUGGACUUCUGUUUAAACAUCGAAUGUAAAACUACGGUGUGAAUGGUGAAUGUAUGAAUGUAUAGCUAUCUGUAUAUUCAUUUGAUUGUGGUUGUAUACUGUUUGUACUUUUGUACUUGUGUGACGCCGUGCAAGUACAGGGGAGACUCUGUCCGUGUGAACAGUGGAUUCCCUGUAUUUGUGGCGGAUCUGGCAUACUCUGGGGUCAGGUUUUUUUUUAAAAAAAAUUCAAACGCUUUUCCACUGUGUUUCAAACAAAAAGGGGACCCCGGGGCGUGACAGAUACCAACCACCAAACCUUUUGCCACUUGCGCCAGGGACAAUCCGUGGGAAUCCCUUCAUACUACAUAUAAACUGAUAUAAAUACACUUCUCACCAACAUACAACGAAAUAAAUUAUUUAUAAUUACAGUAUUUUUUAUUAUUUCUUACCAAACAAAUUUAUAUAUAUUUAUAACUUCUGUGCUUUCAACUAUACCAUGUAUUUAUAAAAUUCUACCGGCCAAAUAUAUAAAUAUAUACAGAGAGAGAAAUAAAGAGUCUGUGUAGUGUUUCUGAGCUUUGGAUAGGACUGGCUUCAGUAUUAGUGACUGGUCGACACUUCUGGAGAGUGUUGGACUGAGUCGGAGUCGUUUCUGCGCGAAAUUGAUGCAGAAAUGGACUUAGCGCACUUAAAUAAGCAAAACUGAAGUUUUGCUAGUUUAGGGCGCCCAGAACUAGAUUUAGGGCGCCCAGAAGUUUAGGGCGCCCAGAAAUAGUUUAGGUCGUCCAGUACUGAGUGCUAAAUUUAACUAAAACUGGAAGCCAAUUCGGAUCCUGUGUUCCGGGCGCCCAGAAGUGGGUCCGAAAAUUCUACAUCGUGAAUAUCGAUCGUAUUGACGCGUGUCUGGUGGUAGAUGUGGGCCGCUGGAGCAGGAUAAGUGUGCAGCACACCACAGGCGGAGGAACUGAUGGGGGCUGUUUGUGCAGGCUAGAAGUUCUGGGCGCCCAGAACUUGGUUUUUCUGCAGAAACUGCAAGUUAAUUUCCAAUAUUCCUGAGGCUUAUCUUACCGUUGGAUUACCCUAUAAAUAGGUGGGAGAUGCCCCUGGUAAGCUCUUUUCCUCUCUUUCUCUCAGGGAAGCUUACAUUUGCAUUUCCAACCCUCAAAUUCCCUCAAAUUGCAUCCAAUCUUUCAAUCGAAAGGUGGUGGAGUACUGAUUCUGCAGUUCUUCAGAAAUGACCUCCAGUGUUUUGGCUCGUACGCGACGUAGGAAGGUCGGAUCGCGGUGAAACAUGGUUUGCUGGAUUCUAGACUUCUAGAGGAAUCCACGAAGCCCUGAAUUGUAGAUUUUGGUUGAGAUUAUCUUGGUCGAACGGAAGUUUUUCUAGACUAUUGUUGAUAUUGAGCUGAAAAUGAGAUUUUUGAGCUUUUCUUGAUGCUAUCUUUGUAGGCAGUGGGAUUUUGGACCUGAGACACAUUCUCCAUUAUUAUUCACUGGAUUUGAUACCUUCCUCACCUGAUUUGGAGGUAAUUAGGUGAGUUUUGACAUUAUGAUAGGGAUUAAAUUAAGCUUUAGUGCUGAAUUGGGAUAAUUGAUGGAAUUCAAUGUGUAGAGCUUGGAGAUAGCUUGAUUACUGGUCUUGGAGGAUUUUGGUUGAUCCAGCAGGGAUUAGCAUUGGUUCAGGACCUUCUUUGCUACCAGGAUUAGCAAUUAAGGUGGGUUACAUCGGUUUAUUCCUAAGCACAGUAUUAGUCGACAUGUAUGAUUUCCAGUUUUUGUAAAUCAUGUUGUAGCUCAAUUUCGUUGAUUGUAUCAUGGAUGAAAUCAAUAUUCAGAACAUGAUUAGUAAACCAUAAAUAUACAUGUUGGACUUGGAAUUUGACUUAGGAGAAAACCAGCAAUUUGGACCUGUCACCUGUUUACACUACCUGAUUUAGCUAUAGGAGCCGUUGUAAUUUUGUAUCGUCGCAAUAUCGAGGCGACGGGUACCCCAGGUAGUUUAGCUUUCAGUUACGCUCGUGCUGGGAUGCCGAGUGUAUUUUUACAGUAGCGUUCAGGUUAUUCCGGACUGUUGGGUGCCGUCGGGGUUGACAGUGGACCCAUAUCGCCUUUUUGGCGUUGGAUUGUACCGAGGGCACGUGAUCUGUUGGUUGUUAGACCAGUUAGAGUUGAUUUCUUGGACUUUGGCUUGAGAGAGUCUGAUUGAGCUCGACAGAGAUACGCUGCAUACUAGGUUGGGUAGCUCCCACGAGUGCCACUCCGGAGACGGGCGUUGUGCUUUCGCGUUGGUGUCGUUCAUGCCGGUUAGACUUGCUCUCCAUGGACUGGAUAGUGUGGAGGUAGCUGGAUAGUCUCAACUGGGCGGGAUGUGUGUGUUCACAGUCCCUGGGACGUGUAUGUUUACAAUCCUUAAAGAGAUUGGAUCAGGAUUGACAUUACUACAGUAGGUCAGCUUAGAGCAUGAUUGUGUAAUAAAUAGUAGCUGUAGAUUUCAUUCCAGCAUUUAUUACUACCUUUGCUCCCUUCUGUAGACUUAGUAGGUGGAUCGAUGUUGUUGAAGGCGGCACCCACUGAGGACUAUUUGUUUUACAGUAGUUCUCACGCCCUGUUAUUACCCUGUUUUUGCAAAGCCAUCGUCUUCGGCUGGUGCUGUUGCUGAUCAGGAUCGAGGCAAGGGCGUCGCGAGUUAGAGCCCUACCCGACGAGCCGAGCUAGAGGUGCCCAUACAGCAGGUAGUUGUUUUUGUUGGAGUUCAUGUACAUACAUAUAUUUAACUCGCCAGUGCGAGUAGUUUUGUAUCUUGGAUUUGGCGUAUAUAUAUGGAACUCGCUUUGUUUUUAUUACUGGUGCUUCUAGCAGCUCUAUACUAUUGUUUGUAGUAUUGUAUGAUUUACAGGUACAGCUAUCGCUUCGUAUACAGGAAAAAUUUCUUUGUAUACGGCGGAUUUGUCGGCGCGCCCGGGGAACGAGUAAUCCGGGGCGUGACAGAUUAAGUUGGUAUCAGAGCUUAGCAUUAGGUUGUUGGGACCUAGAAAACCUAAGUUUGGCAAACCUUAGGAAGGCAAGACGCGAGAGGCGUAAUGUAUUGCAAAAGUCAAUGAUUAAUUGUUCUAACUCCUCUUAGAGUGGGGUGAGUGAUUGAAGUAGUUCCUAUUUUGGCCUGAGAAAUUAUGUUGGCUGCAGACAACAUAAUUUUGGAGGAAAACAGGGGCCGCCUUCCAGACUUUCAUUGAUUGGGUCGAGAGUGUUUGUGUUUCAUCUAGCCCCGAUCUUUUCCUUUCAGCUAUGUAUCGUCGCUGAGGUCGACCGUCGUUACGGGAGCGUGCCAAGUUGUCGCAGGAUCGUGCGCGACCUUCCAAGAUGCCUAAGCAUGCGAAGCCGAGUGCCCGGCAGGAGCAGAGUGUUCGACCGGAGGCGAGUGCAUCCCUGGACUUGAGUGCACAGUUAGCCGCCCUAACAGAGGUGACGAGGCGGCAGGGGGAGUUGUUGAAGAGGAUGUGCGAGAGGCUAGCUUCGCCCCAGAGUUCAGCACCGAAGGCACCAGAGUCGUUUGUUCCACCUCCGACUACCCCAGCGACAGCACCAGCUGCAGCAGUCCCUCCGCCAGCAGCAGUUCCAGUAGCGCCAGUUGCGCCUACUAGGGGGCCAGUACCGUUGACAGAGGUCGAGCAGGAACGGUUGACAGAGAAGUUGGCUCGUUUCCGCCGCUUUGAUCCGCCGACCUUCGAUGGCAGUUGCACUGAGGCCUGAGUUGUUGAGGGCUGGGUCAGUGCGAUGGAGAAGCUAUUUGAGAAUCUGUUCAUUCCUGAGUGGGAGCAGGUAUCUUUGGGAGUCCAUUACUUGGGAGGUGAUGCCCACGCCUGGUGGAGGAGAGUGAGGAGAGAGCAGGGACUGGUAGCGUUGCAGCUGAGAUGGGAUGAGUUCUGUGGAAUGCUGUUUGGGAUGUUUUUUCCCAACAGUGUGAAACAGAAGGUCGAGAAGGAUUUGAAGAGGAUUUAGCAGGGGGAUCGUCCAGUGCAGGAGUACAUUCGAGAGUUUACUCGACUCCUAAACUGUGUACCAUUUGUGGUCAGGGACGAGGCACACAGGGUCUAUCUGUUUGAGCAGGGGCUUAGACCUGACAUCUUCAGGUUGGCGUGGGCGCAGAGGUCGAGGACCUUGGAUGCCUCCAUAGAGCAGGCCUUAUGGGUGGAGAGAGGUGAGGUGUCGCUGUAGGAGAGGACUCCGGCUGUGGGGCAGAGUCAGGACAGGAAGCGCCCCUUUUCAGAUGAUGCUGGACAGUCGAGCAGCAGGCGUCCGCCGAGGCCUCCACGAUCACGCUCUCAAGGUCGUGGGUCUUCGGGGCGUCAGCGUUUCAGGAGAUCCCGUCAGUAGGGCCAAACUCAGAGGACACCACAGUGUGUGAUCUGCAGGGGACCACACUGGCCCCGGUAGUGCGAGCAGAGAGAGGGCCGUUGCUACUCUUGCGGUCAGCCUGGGCAUAUGAGGUCAGCUUGUCCUCGUGCAGCAUCAACAACACCAUCCUUCGCAUCAGCGCAGCCGGCAUCCCAGCAGUCCUUUGGAGCAGCACCGAGUUUCCGCCAGGAGGACAGAUCGUCUGUGCUGCGUCAGGCUGAGCGGCGACAGCAGGCUCCGAAUGGCAGAGUUUAUGCAGCUCAGGUGGAAGAUUCUUCAGCAGCCGACAGAGUGGUUGCAGGUUUCAUUUUGAUUUCAGUCAUUCGUACUCGCACUCUUUUUGAUACCGGUGCCUCGCAUUCUUUCGUUAACCGAGCAUUUGUAUUGUUGCAUGGUCUAGAGUUAGGGUCAUUGUCACAGGCACGAGAGAUGCAGAUCCCCGACCAUGUUUUACAGGUUGCAGAGUGUUGUUAGUCAUUCCGGUGCAGUUAGAUUCUUGGAUCAUGCCCGCAGACCUGUUGGUGUUAGGGCAGCUACAGGACUUUGACGUAGUGCUCAGUAUGGAUUGGCUGACGCGGUACUACGCUACUAUUGACUGUGAAGCGAGGACUGUGACGUUCCGCAAGCCAGGCCAGGAGGAGUUCAUUUCUAGAGGAUGCAGGAGUACUUUGUUCGCCACUUGGAUAUCUUCGGUGAGGGCUCGACAGCUGAUGAGUAGAGGAUGCGUUGCUUUUCUGGCGAUUGUGACAGAGGUGCCUACGGCGGCGCCGGGACUCGAGGAUAUUCCUAUAGUCCGCGAGUUUCCGGAUGUGUUUCCCCCUGAGUUGAUUACGAUGCCGCCAGAGAGGGAGAUAGAGUUUGUGAUUGAUGUAGUUCCUGGAACUGCACCAAUCUCGAAGGCACCUUAUCGGAUGGCACCAGCAGAGCUGAGAGAGCUAAAGGCGCAGCUUCAGGAUUUGAUGGAUAAGGGGUAUGUGAGACCUAGUGUGUCGCCUUGGGGAGCGCCAGUGCUGUUUGUAAAGAGGAAGGAUGGUUCGCUCGGGUUGUGUGUUGAUUACCGGGAGCUGAAUAAGAUGACCAUCAAGAAUAAGUAUCCUUUGCCGCGCAUUGAUGAUCUGUUUGAUCAGCUGCAAGGAUCUUAUGUCUUCUCGAAGAUUGACCUCCAGUCAGGUUACCACGAGUUGAGGGUGAGGGCAGAGGAUGUUCCCAAGACGGCUUUUCGGACUCGGUACGGGCAUUAUGAGUUUAAGGUGAUGCCGUUUGGAUUGACGAACGUCCCUGCCGCAUUCAUGGAUUUGAUGAACAGAAUGUUUAAACCGUUCUUGGAUAGAUUUGUGGUAGUCUUUAUUGAUGAUAUUCUGAUAUACUCCUGGAGCGAUGCCGAGCAUGAGGAGCACUUGAGAACUGUGCUACAGCUUCUGCGAGAGAAGAAGUUGUAUGCCAAGUUAAAGAAGUGCGAAUUUUGGUUGCGGGAGGUUGCUUUCUUGGGCCACGUGAUAUCUGCGGUUGGAGUGGCAGUGGACCCGAAGAAGAUUGAUGCCAUUCGAGAUUGGCCCAGACCGACGACGGUGACAGAGGUGAGGAGUUUCCUUGGGCUUGCUGGUUAUUACCAUCGGUUUGUGGAAGGCUUUGCGAAGCUUUCCACACCACUCACUCGACUGACUCGUAAAGGAAUUAAGUUCAUUUAGAGUGAGGAUUGCCAGAGGAGCUUUGAUGAGUUGAGACGAAGGUUGACGUCAGCUCCUAUCCUUGCCCAUCCUGUGAUGGGGGAAGGAUUUGUGAUCUACAAUGAUGCAUCGCACAGCGGGCUGGGCUGUGUGCUGAUGCAGCAUGGUAGGGUAAUUGCUUAUGUUUCACGACAGUUAAAGGAUUAUAAGAAGAAUUAUCCUACGCAUGACUUGGAGCUUGCCGCGGUAGUCUUUGCUUUAAAAUUGUGGCGGCAUUACCUUUAUGACGAGCACUGCGAGGUUUUCACCGAUCAUAAAAGUCUUAAGUAUCUGUUCACCCAUAGAGAGUUGAACCUGAGGCAGCGCUGGUGGUUGGAGUUACUGAAGGACUAUGACAUUUGGUAUUCAGUAUCAUCCCGGCAAGGCAAAUGUGGUAGCAGAUGCGUUGAGCAGGAAGGCAGUGCAGAGCUUGAGCAUAUUGAUCACUCGGCAGAGAUCGUUACUUGAGGAGCUGCAGCGGCUUAGGCUCGAGAUAGUGUCCCCUGGAUCUACUUCGAGACUGAUGUCUAUGAUCUUGCAGCCCACUCUGUUGGAUAGGAUCCGAGAGCAACAGAGUGGAGACCCGCACUUGUCGAGGAUUCGAGAGCAGCUUAAGAAGGGACAGGCCGAGGGCUUUGUUGUGGACAGUUCGGGAGUAUUGCGGUACAGGGACCGACUGUGUGUACCUAUGGAUUUAGAGAUCCGACAGGACAUUUUGAGAGAGGCUCACUGUUCACCUUAUACGGUUCACCCCGGUGGAACCAAGAUAUAUAAGGAUUUAAAGGCUCAGUUUUGGCGGAAUGGAAUGAAGAGGGACAUUGGUAGAUUUGUGGCUCAGUGUCUGACUUGUCAACAGAUAAAGGCCGAGCAUCAGGUACCUACUGUCAAGCUUCAGAGUCUGCUAGUGCCCGAGUGGAAAUGGGAGCAGAUCACGAUGGACUUUGUCGUGGGGUUGUCUAGAGCCCAGGGUGGUUUCGAUGCUAUUUGGGUGAUAGUGGACAGACUGACUAAGUCUGCUCACUUUCUACCAGUUCAGACCACAUGGUCCAGGGAGAGGCUCGCUCAGCUAUAUCUGGAUGAGAUAGUGAGGUUGCAUGGCAUGCCCACUUCGAUAGUAUCAGAUCGAGACCCGAGGUUCGUCUCGUACUUUUGGAGGAGUCUUCAGAUGGCUUUGGGCACUCAGUUGCAGUUCAGCACAGCGUUUCACCUAUAGACAGAUGGUGAGUCAGAGCGGACCAUUCAGACUCUUGAGGACAUGCUGAGGGCAUGUGUCCUGGACUUUGGAGGAGGGUGGUAUCGAUAUUUGAGACUGGCUGAGUUUGCAUACAACAAUAGCUAUCAAGCAAGAAUCCAGAUGGCUCCGUUUGAGGCAUUGUAUGGACGCAGGUGUCGAUCCCCUUUGUUUUGGAGUGAUGUGGGUGAGAGAAAAACGCUUGGGCCUGAGAUUCUGAUUGAGGCUGAGGAAAAGGUGAAAGUGGUGCGACAGCACAUUUUAGGAGCCAGAGUCGGCAGAAGAACUAUGUUGAUACCGGGAGAUGAGACUUGGAGUUCCAGGUGGGAGAUCAUGUGUUUCUUAAAGUCUCGCCGUCCAUAGGGAUUCGCCGAUUUGGAGCACGUGGAAAGCUCACAUUUUGUAGGCUCUUUUGAGGUAUUGGAGCGAGUCGGGCCAGUUGCUUACAGGAUUGCUCUACCUCCACGACCAGCCGGCAUUCAUGAUGUUUUCCACGUCUCGGCUUUGAGGAGAUAUGUGUUCGACCCCUCCCACGUGAUUGACUUCACUCUACUUGAGAUUGGCGAGGACCUGAGUUACGAGGAGCGACCGGUGCGGAUUCUGGCUCGUGAGUCGAGGAAAUUGCGCAACUGGGUCAUACCCUUUGUAAAGGUGCAGUGGAGUAAUCACGAAGAGCGGGAGGAGACUUGGGAGCCGGAGACGGUGAUGAGAGAGUCCUACCCCUACCAUUUUGAGACUCAGGAUUGAGGUAUGUUUCAGUUUCGCGGACAAAACUUUUUAUAGUGGAUGAGGAUGUAGUGUUUCUGAGCUUUGGAUAGGAUUGGCUUCAGUAUUAGUGACUGGUCGACACUUCUGGAGAGUGUCGGACUGAGUCGGAGUUGUUUCUGCCCGAAAUGGAUGCAGAAAUGGAAUCGGCGCACUCAAAUAAGCAAAACUGGAGUUUUGCUAGUUUAGGGUACCCAGAACUAGAUUUAGGGCGCCCAGAAGUUUAGGGCACCCAGAAAUGGUUUAGGUCGCCCAGUACUGAGUGCUGAAUUUAACUGAACUGGAAGCCAAUUCAGAUCCUAUGUUCCGGGCGCCCAGAGUGGGUCCGGAAAUUCUACAUCGUGAAUAUCGAUCGUGUUGACGCGUGGCUGGUGGUAGGUGUGGGCCACAGGAGCAGGAUAAGGGUGCAGCACACCGUAGGCGGAGGAACCGAUGGGGGCUGUUUGUGCAGGCUGGAAGUUCUGGGCGCCCAGAACUUGGUUUAGGGCGCCCAAAACUUGGUUUUUUUGCAGAAACUACAGGUUAACUUCCAAUGUUCCUGAGGCUUAUCUGACCGUUGGAUUACCCUAUAAAUAGGUGAGAGAUGCCCCUGGUAAGCUCUUUUCCUCUCUUUCUCUCAGGGAAGCUUACAUUUGCAUUUCCAACCCUCAAAUUUUCUCAAAUUGCAUCCAAUCUUUCAAUCGAAAGGUGGUGGAGUGCUAAUUCUGCAGUUCUUCAGCGACGACCUCCAGUAUUUUGGCUCGUACGCAACGUAGGAAGGUAGGAUCGCGGUGAAACUUGGUUUGCCGGAUUUUAGACUUCUAGAGGAAUCCAUGAAGCGCUGAAUUACAGAUUUUGGUUGAGGUUAGCUUGGUCGAACGGAGGAUUUUUUGGACUGCUGUUGACAUUGAGCUGAAAAUGAGAUUUUUGAGCUUUUCUUGAUGCUAUCUUUAUAGGCAAUGGGAUUUUGGACCUGAGACACAUUCUCCAUUAUUAUUCACUGGAUUUGAGAUCUUCCUCACCUGAUUUGGAGGUAAUUAGGUGAGUUUUGAUAUUAUGAUAGGGAUUAAAUUAAGCUUUAGUGCUGAAAUUGGGAUAAUUGAUGGAAUUCAAUGUGUAGAGCUUGGAGAUAGCUUGAUUACUGGUCUUGGAGGAUUUUGGUUGAUCUAGCAGGGAUUAGCAUUAGUUCAGGACCUUCUUUGCUGCCAUGAUUAGCAAUUAAAGUGGGUUACAUCGGUUUAUUCCUAAGCACAGUAUUAGUCGACAUGUAUGAUUUCCAGUUUUUGUAAAUCAUGUUGUAGCUCAAUUUCGUUGACUGUAUCAUGGAUGAAAUCAGCAUUGAGGACAUGAUUAGUAAACCAUAAAUAUACAUGUUGGACUUGGAAUUUGACUUAGGAGAAAACCAACGAUUUGGACCUGUCACCUGUUUACACUACCUGAUUUAGCUCUAGGAGCCGUUGUAAUUUUGUUUCGUCGCAAUAUCGAGGCGACGGGUACCCCAGGUAGUUUAGCUUUCAGUUACGCUCGUGCUGGGAUGCCGAGUGUAUUUUUACAGUAGCGUUCAGGCUAUUCCGGACUAUUGGGUGCCGUCGGGGUUCACGGUGGACCCAUAUCGCCUUUUUGGCGUCGGAUUGUGCCGAGGGCACGUGGCCUGUUGAUUGUUAGACCAGUUAGAGUUGGUUACUUGGACUUUGGCUUGAGAGAGCCUAAUUGAGCUCGACAGAGAUACGCUGCAUACUCGGUUGGGUAGCUCCCACGAGUGCCACACCGGAGACGGGCGUUGUGCUUUCGCGUUGGUGUUGUUCAUGCCGGUUAGACUUGCUCUUCACGGACUGGAUAGUAUGGAGGUAGCUGGACAGUCUCAACUGGGCGGGAUGGGUGUGUUCACAGUCCCUGGGACGAGUAUGUUUACAAUCCCUAAAGAGAUUGGGUCAGGAUUGAUAUUACUACAGUAGGUCAGCUUAGAGCAUGGUAGUGUAAUAAAUAGUAGCUGUAGAUUUCAUUCCAGCAUUUAUUACUACAUUUGCUCCCUUCUGUAGACUUAGUGGGUGGACCGAUGUUGUUGAGGGCGGCACCCACUGAGGACUACUUGUUUUACAGUAGUUCUCACGCCCUGUUGUUAUUCCGUUUUUGUAGAGCCAUCGUUUUCGGCUGGUGCUAUUGCUUAUCAAGAUCGAGGCAAGGGCGUUGCGAGUUAGAGCCCUAUCCGACGAGCCGAGCUAGAGGUGCCCAUACAGCAGGUAGUUGUUUUUGUUAGAGUUCAUGUACAUACAUAUAUUUAACUUGCCAGUGCGAGUAGUUUUGUAUCUUGGAUUUGGCGUAUGUAUAUGGAACUCGCUUUGUUUUUAUUACUGGUUCUUCUAGCAGAUCUACACUACUGUUUGUAGUAUUGUAUGAUUUACAGGUACAGCUAUCGCUUCGUAUACAGGAAAAAUUCCUUUAUAUACGGUGGAUUUGUCAGCACACCCGGGGAACGAGUAAUCUGAGGCGUGACGGUCCGGUUAUGGUGUUUUUAAAAAUACCACACACUUGGUAUUGUAAGAAUUUAUUCAGCACAAAAUUAAAACUCAAAUUGCAGUGAAAAAUUAAUAUUGUAUUUUUCAAUUUUUGAAAAAAGCCAAAAUUCAUACCGUAAAUAAAAUCGAAAACAAAAUCAAUCCAGUACCGGUAGAUUAUUCUCAUAUUACAGUGUAAAAAUAAUCUAAAUUAGACAGAUAUAAAGUUCAUAUUACAUCACUUUAGACCAGUUAAGGUCUCUUGAUCUACUGUACGGUUGAAAUUGAAUAUGACGAACUGAAAUUCUAAUUAGCUGCGCACGUGCUUGACCUCUACGCAUUUCCACACGGAAUUGACGCAGAUCCGACGUCUUCCGCCACACAGAACAAAUGAGUCGUAGACUACAAAGACGGUGCUAGUAGUCCUCUGAUAUUUACGUUCCUUUUGAUGAGAUAUUCUGAUCUUCAUGAAAGAUAACAUAGAAAGAGAGCGACGAAUAAUCUAAGAGGCUAAAAAUUAAAAUUUCAUGGCCUUGGAAGACACAUGUUAGCUAAAGCAGUCAUAGAAGAUAAGACGUGUGGAAAGGUUGAAACUGAUUGGGAUGUUUUGAACAUGUGCAACGGAGACCAGUCAGUGCAUUAGUUAGAAAGAAUAUUUUUUAGUUAAAACAUAGAUUGUCUUAUAGGAGUGGGGGUCUGAAUCUAACAAUUGCUAAACAUAUAAUAAACUAAAAAAUUACUAUACCUCAUUGCACAAAAUAAUUUUCAAGUAUAGAGCUAAAUGAAAUAGCAAGAGCUAUAAACAUUGUAGCUGAUCUCCAAUAGUAGAGCUUGGAGAAAUUGCUACUGCUUGGCUUCCUUCUGCAUGCCUUUUUGAAUUCUUACCCUAAUUUAACUAGCUUUGGUCAGUAUUAUUUUUUAUUCUUAAUUAUUUUCUUAUUUGUACUUUAGCAGGAUUUUUAUUUUGUUUUUAUGUUGACAAAUAUAUGAAAGUGGAAGAUUUUUGCUAGAAAAUUGAGUUCAGAUUGGCUUGNCUUUAUGUUCUAGUGGUUUAGUCUCUUUCUCUUUCCUUUCUAUUUCCGCUUGUUGAUAGAACUUAGCUGCAUGCUUGCUCUGAUAUCGUUAGUUAUUGUUUAUUUUAUCUUUCAUAUCACUUUGUUGUAGACGCCUUAUAUGUGCAGGCAUAUGGCGGGUCUGGGCACGCACCGGGCAGGGCCUUUGCCGGGUCCCGGGGCGUGACACAAGGCACCCCCCCGGGUGCACACAAGACGUUUACCACAAAACAUUCAAUAGAGACAGUAAGGAAAUAUUCCUAACAUGAUAAUCAUAGCAUAAAUACUAAACUAUACAAUAAAUCACCAUUCACUAAAGGAAGUAAUAAGUUACUACAAUAAGGAAACAUCUAUCAUAAGACAUACAUCAAGUGCUAAUAAAAAGGUACAUCUCAAGAACAUGGUAGUCCCUGUACAAAAUGAUCUAAUACACCUUUCGAGACUAAAACAAAAAAAAAGUGUCCACCUAGGUAAGUAUCUCCAAAAGGGCUCUAGCUAAUCGCAACUCCCUUACCUCGAUCCCUAACCUCUUCCGCAGUGGAAGGCUCUAAAAAAAAAACAACAAAUAUAUGGGGGUGAGAACUAUUAAACAAUAGUUUCCAGCGGGUAAACCGCUGAAAAAAGCGAAUUACACCACUAGGUCAACUGAGGCAAAAGUAUAAAUAAUUACUAAUAAAGCAUAAAUAAAGUUAAGCAUUAAAAUUCAAAUCUACUAUACCUCUAAAUGAUUAUGUUAUUGAACAAGUAUGGAGUCUAUGCUAUUACAUGUACAAAUAUAUAAUGAAUACUCAAGUGUCAUGCAUUAGCUAGUUGUGAUGUCCAACAUUAAGGGCCUGUUUGGCCAAACUUCUGAAAAAGUGAUUUCUGAAAAAGUGAUUUUGGUUUGAAGAAAUGAUUUUUGUUAAAAGCUGUAGAGCGUUUGGCGGAGUUUAAAUAAAAGUGAUUUUUCUGAAGUGAUUUUGAAAAACUAUUUGGCAAAUUUUUUUUGAUGUUGGCAUAAAUUAAUAUUUUUAUUAAAUUUUAUUUUAAAAUAAUUUAAAAUCUAAAUUUAAAUUUGAAUUAAAAUGAAAAAUUUUAAAUUUCAAAAUUGUAAAAAAUUUAAAAUUUGAUAUUUUAAUUUUAAAAAAUAAUNNNNNNNNNNNNNNNNNNNNNNNNNNNNNNNNNNNNNNNNNNNNNNNNNNNNNNNNNNNNNNNNNNNNNNNNNNNNNNNNNNNNNNNNNNNNNNNNNNNNGGGACCGGUCCCCGAGAGCAAUUUUGCUCCAGUGCAGAUUUCGCACUAUUUGCUCUCGUGGACUCGUUUCCAAUGCACUUUUGGUGAUUUUAAUAUCUUUGGUCUUUCCAAAGUACACCAGCACGACCCUUGGUCGAUUCGGGAUGAAGUCAAAUCCUCGUAUUUCGAGAAUUCACUUCCUCACACUGCUAACUCACCUCAAGGAGUUGUAUGGUGAGCAAAGCCGAUCUACUCGUUUUGAAGUGUCCAAAAGACUCUUUAAAGUCAAGAUGCACAAUGGGCAGUCUGUUCAUGAUCACUGUUUGACAAUGAUCAAAGACCUCGAGGAGCUUGAGAAGCUUGGCAUGAAAAUGGACAAGAAAUUGCAAGUUGAUCUGAUCCUGCAAUCCCUUCCUGUAUCAUAUGGACAGUUUAUUGUAAACUACAAUAUAAAUAAAAUUGAUUGCACCAACGCAGAGUUAUUGAACAUGUUGAUAACUACAGACGGGACUUUGAAAGGUUCAAAGGGCUCGAUUCUCGCUGUGGAGCGAGCUUCCUCUUCCAAAAGAAAAUCUAAUUGGAAGAAAAAACCCGCGAAGAAACAAAAGACGGAAAACAAGCCCAAGAAGGAAGCUUCUAAGAAUAAGGCCGCUAGCAAAGGAAAAUGUUUCCACUGCAACNACGUUGACGGUCAUUGGAAGAGAAAUUGUCAUGUCUACCUGGAGAGCUUGAAGAAUAAAAGGAAGGACACACCUUCGGAAGGUAUGUCAGACUUGCUCGUAAUAGAAACUAACCUUACGGUUUCCUCUACUUCUAGUUGGGUUAUAGACUCUGGUUCUAGUUCUCAUCUAUGUACUUCAAUGCAAGGUCUAAGGGAAAGUAGAGGGCUCAGGGAAGGUGAAGUGACCCUACGGGUGAGCAACGGGGCAAGAGUUGCUGCUGUGGCUGCUUGGCACCUAUCUUUUGCGACUACCGUCAGGAUAUGUUUUAUUACUUAAAGACUAUUAUUAUGUACCUGCUACUAGCAGGAAUUUGAUUUCUGUUUCUUCUUUAGCACAGGACGGUUAUAAUUUUAAUUUUGACAAAGACUACUGCAUAAUUUAUUUUAGAAAUAAUAUUAUUGGUCGUGAUUUUAUGAUUGACAGUCUUUAUCAUUUACAUAUGGAUGUAUCUGUAAAUAUUUUCUGAGCAAGUAGAGACUGCUGUUGGGUCUAAGAGACCGAGAGAUGAGAUGAACCUAAAGUAUAUGUGGCACCUCAGGCUUGGUCAUAUUAGAGAAGAAAGGAUAAAUAAAUUGGAUAAAGAUGGGCUUCUCAGCUCAUUGACUUCAGAGUCUUAUUCAGUUUGUGAAUCUUGUCUUCAAAAAAAAUUGACUAAAUUACCCUUUGUAGGACAAGGGGAAAGGGUCACUGAGAUACUUUCCUUGAUAUACACUGAUGUGUGUGGGCCAUUUGAUGUGCAUGCUAGGGGUGGUUAUCUCUACUUCAUAACCUUUACCGAUGAUUAUUCACGGUAUGGAUAUGUGUAUCUUAUGAAACACAAAUCUGAGGCUUUUGAAAAGUUCAAAGAAUUCAGAUAUGAAGUAGAAAAACAAACUGAAAAAUCCAUCAAGGUUCUUCGAUCAGAUCGAGGAGGAGAAUACCUUAGUGGAGAGUUCCUAAAUUAUCUCAAAGAAAACGGCAUAGUCUCACAGUGGACUCCUCCGGGAACACCUCAACUCAACGGGGUGUCAGAACGGAGAAACCGAACCUUAUUGGAUAUGGUUCGAUCUAUGAUGAGCUUCACUGAUCUUCCUUUAUUUCUUUGGGGACAUACUUUGCUUACUGCAGCUUAUUUGUUAAAUAGGGUUCCCUCUAAAUCCGUUCCUACCACGCCGUAUGAGAUGUGGCAUGGUAAAAAACCAAGCCUUGGUCAUAUCAAGAUUUGGGGAUGUCCGGCCUAUGUUAAACGACUACAGGUGGACAAGUUAGAGGCUAGGUCUGAGAGGGCUUGUUUUAUUAGAUAUCCUAAAGAAACUUUAGGUUACUAUUUUUAUAUCCCAGAGAAUCACAAUAUAGUUGUGAGCAAAUGUGCUAUUUUCUUGGAAAAACAGUUUAUUCAAGAAGCUAGUGGGAGAAAAAUUGAACUCGAAGAGAGAGAGUCUCUGAAGAGCAACGAGUCAUCAAACCUACAGAACCUAUUCAAGCUGAGCCAGUACAUGUAGUACCUAUUCCACCUCGCAGGUCGAGUAGAAUCUCCCAUCCCACUAAACGAUACUUAGAUAUCGUUACAGAGGAAGUAGAGGAAAUGUUCCUAAUGGGAGAUAGGGUCUGACAUCGAUUCCGAGAAAUGGCUGGAUGCCAUGAAGUCAGAAAUUAACUGAAUGCAUUCCAACCAGGUUUGAAUUUUGGUAGACCCACCAGAAGGCAUAGUACCUAUCGGGUGUAAAUGGAUCUAAAAAAGAAAGAUAGGUUCGAAUGGAAAGGCUCUACCUAUAAAGCAAGGCUGGAUGCGAAAGGUUAUAGUCAACGUGAAGGCAUUGAUUAUCAGGAGACCUUUUCAUCUGUGGCCAUGCUUAAAUCCAUUCGAACACUGCUUGCCCUUGCAGCAUACUAUGAUUAUGAGAUCUGGCAAAUGGAUGUGAAAACUGCCUUCCUAAAUGGAUAUCUUGAGGAAGAUAUCUAUAUGGAGCAGCCUUUGGGUUUCACUUCCGGUGACGAAAGUCACAAAGUAUGCAAGUUGCAACGGUCCAUUUAUGGACUUAAGCAAGCAUCUCGGACUUGGAAUACUCGUUUCCAUAACGUGAUUAAAUCGUUUGAUUUCGUUAAGAAUGAUGAGGAACCAUGUGUUUAUAAGAAGGUCAGUAGGAGAGCUGUCACAUUCCUCGUAAUGUACGUGGAUGACAUUCUCCUAAUUGGGAAUGACAUUCCAAUGCUGACUUCAGUUAAAAUAUGGUUGUCUAAAGAAUUCUCCAUGAAAGAUCUAGGGGAAGCAUCCUAUAUUUUGAGGAUAAAGGUCUAUAGAGAUAGAUCUAAAAGGAUGCUGGCCUCUCACAGAAAAUGUAUAUAGAAGAGAUGCUGAAAAGGUUCGGCAUGGAAAACUCCAAAAGGAGACUUUUACCUCUUAGACAUGAAAUUUAUCUCUCUAAGAAAAUAUGCCCCAAUACAUUUGAAGAGAUUCAACGUAUGAGUAAGAUCCAUUUAUCUCAGAUCAGUUAUAGGGAGUUAUGUACGCAUGGCCUAUGUACACGACUGAUAUCGCGCCUUCCUGUGAGUGUCAAGUGAUAUUUUCAAUACUAAUCCAAAGAGUGUGAGAGCACUGGAUUGCUGUGAAGAAACAUACUCAGUACUUUGAGAGGACUGAAGAUAAUGUUUCUUGGUCUUUGAGGAGGAGGUGAAAGUACAAGAUAUUACUGAUUCAGACUUUAUGUCUGAUUGUGCACGAUAGAAGUCUACAGUCAGAAUGAUCGUGUGUUCUUAUGCAAUGUUGCCUCUGUUAUUGAAGAUUCCAAAACAACCAAUUUAUUGCUGACUCUAAUAUGGAAGCAUAGUUAUAUCGCCGCAUCUGAAGCCUGCAAGGAAUCCUUGGAUCUACAUGAAAUUUGUCGCCAGAAUUAGGUGUGAUGCCAUCGUUAUCCAUACCACUAUAUUGCGACAACAUGCGCCAUUAGCCCUAGCUAGGAGCCCAAGUUCUCAUCAGAGGUCCAAGUUAUAUAGAGCGGCUGUUUCAUAUUAUUUACGCGAUACUACCUCGAAGAAAUUCACAUCAGAGAUGCAGAAGGUAGACUCUAGGUAACGCUGCAGACAUUGACUAAACACUUUAGACGGCAGAGCACUGAGUCCUGGAGAUGGGGUUAGGUAUUUGGCUGAUUGGUUUUAUGCAAGUGGGGAGAUUGUUAGAUGUCAUGCCAGAAGCCACCAGAGCCGACACAUAUAUUCUUUCUAGGAUAUAAAUUUGUAUUUGACUUUUAAAUAUUAUGAAUAACUUUGGAUUUUUAUUUCCAUUCAUGUUGUGUAUGUGUUCAUGAAUCGUCCAAGGAAUUAAUAAGAUGAUGACAUAUAUUCUCAAGUGUUGAGAAUUUGAGACAUGUGUCAUUGGUGGUUAAUUUCUAAAUGCUCCCGAUCAAUGGAUCAUCACGGGGACGGUGAUUGAUCCGGUGAGAUUGGUGCAUAGGUCGCUUCCCUUUCUGGGUAGACGAGUCUCGAGUCGACAGUGUGGGGACACUGAAGCGAAUAUGCAGGUGGUUGUUGGAGAACAAGGGUACCGAGCGUGACCAAUGCGAGAAGUCACUUGGAUGUCUACUCACUUGUCAGUGACUUACUUAAUGUUGAAGUAGUGUGACUGGUCCUUUGACCUGCGGUGCCUCGGCUAUUCACAAUGAGGUUACUGUAGUUUGACUAUACAUACACUUAGUCCCUAGCCAUUCGGAUCCUUGUGGUACAUGUUGGCUGCCGUAGGUUCAUUGUAGGAAUAGGAUGCGUACUUAGAUGGAAUCUAUCUCCCUUGGUAGAUAGGGGUGUUAGUCCUAUGUGAUUUAUGAGACCGAGUUUAAAAGACCUUGGCCAGGGCAGAGUUAAUAGCGAAAAAAGGUUUCUGAUAUUAGAAACUCGAGUCGAAUAAAUUUAACAUAUGACAAACGAUGGGAUUUGACGAGUUAUUCCAUAACCUCCGUCUUGUCGGGACUCAUGAUAGAAGGAUUGUAUCACACGGUAACUGCACAAAGAGGUUCAGUAUUCCAUUCUACUGGAAUGCCAUUAAAUGCUGCUAGACAUCACUGGUGGAUUGUGAGACUCAUGAGAAUUAUCUAGAUGAUCAAUAAUUCUCAUUGGGCUGAGUUGGAAUUAUUCUGAUCCAUUGAAAGGAGUUUCAGUGAUAUUGUUGAUAGUGUUCAAAAUAUAUCUCACUACCAGAUAGAAUAGAACCUAUAGGGUCACACACAUGAGAGGUAGUGAUUGAUCGGAUAGCUAGAUCGCGAUUAUUGAAUCGUCGGAGGACCUAAUUAUCAAUAUGUUGAUAAUUGGACUAAUUUAUAAUUAUUACAAAUUAGUGGUAUUAAAGUGUAAAUGUUACAAGAGAGGACUUACUGAUAGUUAGUAAAUUAUAAGAGGACUUAUGUGCAAAUGUUGCAUUAUUAAUUUGAUAUGAUCAAAUUAAUAUAAAGAUCGAAUCAAAUUAGGAUUUGAUCGAUCUAACCAAUUAAGGAAAGGAUAAAUUUAAUCUAGAUUUAUACUUAUCCUUAAUUGUCAUUAUAUUAUUAGGAAUAGGAUUAUAUUCCUAUAUAUAACAUACGGGAGUUUUUAGAAAACCCUAGCCGUUAUCUCUCUUCUCCUCUCUCUUCCAUAUUCUAGCAAGAACGACGUCCUUUGCAAGGGAGCUAGCACCCCGGUGAGGAUAUCGAUCAAAUCUUCAACCUCGUGUGGAUACCUAUAGAGGCCGGACGCGUGUGCGGCUUCAAGAGAACCCAAUUCCACGAUCAUCAAGUUGAGGUGAAAAUCUAUCCACGAAAAAGGUAAAGAUUCGAUCUUGUUUUUCUUCUUUAAUCGUAAAACAUGAGGGAUCCUGAUUGCGUGGUUUUUGAGAUUGGAUAUCGAGAGUUUUCAAAAAUCAAAUUUAUUUGAUUCUUUUUCCGCUGCGUUUUUUACCGUACGCAAUUUUCUAACAAUUUCGAGUGCCUAGAAAAUGGAAUCGAGAGCACAAAAUUGUAGUGCUGAAUUGUUAGUGUCGUUUAUGCUAUUGGAGUCAUUUCGGGCCCUUAUUCGGGCGCGUAGUUGUGAGUUGAAAUUUGCUUGGUGGGGCUACUUCGUGAUUAUCAACUGUUGUUGACACGAGGCAAGCGGAAGUUUUGGAUUCGGGGGCAGGAUAAGAUUUUGGUCCCUUUGCGGUGAACCCUGUUGUGGAUUCGGACAGAAUUUUUGGCAGAUUCAGGCGCCUAGAAGUUGGAUUAGGGCCCCCGAAUUUCAAAAUUUCUGCAGUGAUAGGUAUAGAUUCUAAUUUUCUUUGGGCUCAUUUAACCCCACCUAUACCCCUAUAAAAGUGUGUGAACGUUCUCUAUUGAUGGGUAUAGAUUCUAAUUUUCUUUAGGCUCAUUUAACCCACCUAUACCCCUAUAAAAGUGUGUGAACGUUCUCUAUUGACUCAUUUUCCUUCUCCUUCUCCUUCACCUGAAAACUCAUUCUACAACAUAUUAAUCUCACAAAAGCCUUCCAAAUCCUCUCUUCUCCCUACGGGCUAUCUAGAAUAGCGAGAACAGCAACAACAACAGCAACAACAGCAACAACUUGGGGAUUUUGGCAGAUUUGAGACUUCUAAUUUUUGCUAUGGGCUUGAUUCGGGGAUUUGAUAUUAGAGGACAGCUUAUGUAACGACCCGACCUGUCAGUAAUAAUAACUCGUUGGGCUAAAAAACACUAGCCCAAAAUACUUAAGCCAGUUAUUCUUACUACGGUAGAGUCUUUUAUAUACCUAAUAACAACCCAAUUCCCAUCUGAUGUGGGACUAUUGGGAUGUCACAAACUUCCCCGUUUAGGCCCUGACGUCCUUGUUAGCCCUAAACACACACACAGCCCAAGAUCACCGGACAAUGUGAGACUUUUCUUGCUAGUCUUCUCAUUCUUACCCUCACUUAGCCUGUCAUUCACCGACCCUAACUUAGUCUGUCAUUCUGACCCUGGCUCAACCAUGACUCAUCUCACACUUCCGGCUGGUGAACCGGCUCUGAUACCAAAUGUAACAAUCCGACCCGCAAGCAAUAAUAACUUGUUGAAUCAAAACCACCGGCUCAAAAUACUUAAGCUCAAUUAUUCUUACUAGAGUGGAGCCUCUUAUAUACCCAAUGAUAACUCCAUUCUUAUCCGAUGUGGAACUAUUAGGGUGUCACAGCUUGUGGGUCACCUCCUUCCAUUUAAUUACAAAUUAAUUGGUUUGGAAUUGAAGUUAGAAUAGCUUGUGGAUCACCUUCUUCCAUUUAAUUACAAAUUAGUUGGUUUGGAAUUGAAGUUUCUAUGAGGUUUGAACUGGAAUUGGAUUUUAGUCAAAUUUUUUUUAAUUUCUGGAUCCAAUUCUUUGUAGCUGGAUUAUUGCUGGAUUUUAGUUGCUUUUUCCUUCACUCCUAGCAGAUUUAGAUCUAUUCCUACUGGAUUUACAAGUUAGUAACUGAAUUCUUGACCUCAACUGAAGUAAUUUGUGAGUUUAGUGCUGAAUUCUCAAAUUCAUGUUUUGGGCCUCCUUUUUUGGAUCCAAAUCUUGCAGCUGAGGCUUUAGGGAGGGUUUGAUCAGUUUUUCUUAUAAAUCUUGGAGUAUUGGAGUUGUCCAUAACUGGUCGUAAGGUAGAUUGAUCUAAAUUUAGUCAAAAUUCAGCUUUUGUUCUAAAUUCCAGCAAUUUGAUGUUUUGGUAUAUUGAACAAGACUAGCUCUUUCCUGCUAUGUGUGGAGCCUUCGUAAUUGAUUUUCCAACUGGGAUUGUACUGAGGAGAGCUGUUUUUGGUGGUCGAACCCCUACCUUGGCUGGAUUAGCACAAAAGAUGUGUUUAAUUUACCAAAAUCGACGAAUUCCUUACUAUGUAUACUAAAAUUUUGCAUGCAUGUUGUCUAUUUAUCUAAGUUAAUUGUUCUAACUUAGAAUCACUGGAAUAACAUGUGGAAUGCUGAAAUCUGGACUUAGAACAUGUUAAACCUAUAUAUAGUGAUUUUAGAUGCUGAAAUUAGAUUGAAACAUUAAUAAAAUCUGCAUUAAUCUACCCCUGAUGCACUAUCAUUAGUAUUUAAAUAUGGUACCUGUUUUUACCUUUUUUUCACUCUAGUUAGAGGGUGGUGAGUAUUUGGAUUACUGUAGGAUAACUUUACGCUCGUGUUGAGGGGCCGAGUGGAUAUUUAUGAUAGUGUUUAGUCCGAGUUGUUCAGUAGAGUGCCGUUGGGGUCAACGGUCGUCCCAGAUCUUGGAAUUUUGCAUUGGAUUGUGCUUGGGCACAUGGGUUACAAUUUUAUGAUCUGAUUGAUCAUUCGCAUCGACUAUAGCCUGCAUGAACCAAAUUUAAGCUUUAUAGAGACUACACUUUUUGCUCAGCUUAGUAGCUCUCCCGAGUGCCGUUCUGGAGUGAGGCUUUAUGCAGUGGUGUUACAGCAGCCCUUUUGGGCGACCUACUUGGGUCGGCCACCCCGUGGGUGGUGUCAUGGUCAUAGUAUAGAGCAAACUUGACCAAACCUGGUAGGCAUUCAUUUGGAUAUGAUUUGGAUAGUGAUUAUUCGAUAGUUAGUUGGUGCAUAGCCAAAGGAAACUUAUCCUGUUCCUCGAUAUGCGGAUCACGGAACAGCUUCUCCAUGUGGGCAAUCCAGUGCUCGACUGCCAACUCUCGUCAUUCUUUCCAGCAAAUUUCGGCGGGUCGAACUUUUGAAACUCUGCCAAUUUCGUCCUAAUGCGGGCACCCUCCGCUACAGGGGCAUCAAUACCCCCGGGAGCCUCCAAAGUCUAGAAAAAAUUUUCUAUUCAAGAAACAAAAGUUACAUGGUUGGCAGAUGAAAUGUCUAGAGCUACUAGUUGGAGUUUGAAGGAUGAAAUGUCUAGAGCUACCAGUUAAAGUUUGGUAGUUUUUCAAUCUUUUCCAUUAUCAAAUUCUGUACACCAUAAUAUAGAAAGCCUUAGCAUAUAGUUAAUAAACUAAUAACGGCUCUAUAAUUACAACUUUAAAAGAAAUUAGAUAAUUAAGAGACUAACAACACAAUUAUAGAACGUUACAGAGGGAGCAAGUGAUGAGAAUUUUUGCCCUCACCAAAAGGACACUUCAAAAGCACACAUUUUUGCGCUAACUUGAUGCAAUAAAAGCACCAAGUGUUUAUAGAUAUUCCUAUGAAGAAUGCAUAUAUAGAUGGAGGCAUUGACAAGUGUUUAUUGUGGAGACUUGAUAGCACCCUCACCAGCCAAGGCCCAGUCCAUCACCAGCCCAAAUAACAGCUCAAGUAAAAACCUUUAAUUCAUAAAAUUUCACUAAAACCAUCAUAUGGUCUUUAAUAAUAUGUGAUCCUUACCUUUCUUAAUGAGAUGUCAUAAUAAACGAAGUUGGGCUUCAACUGGAAUAGUAAAAUGAUGACAAGCUUUUUUAUUUUUUCUUUUUGAAUCCGUAUCGGAAAUUUGCUUUUCCGAUACGGAUAUAGAAACUGAUGCUGAGAGGAUGACAACAAAGAUGCUAAUUGAGUAAAAAUUUUGUAAAUGACCAAUUACAAAGAAGCAUAACAUCCUUUAGAUCCUUCAAAAUAUGGCACACGAAAAUUACUAUACUAUAUUUACGUUCCAAAUGGGCGAUUUACCAUGUUCUAAAACAAAGCUAGCUCAAAUCUACUACAAUGUUAAUUAAUCUGUAUUAGCUAUACCAUUUUUAAAUCUUGAGCAACAUCGAGAUGCUGUGAAAUAUUUAAGCUUGUGGACGAUAUAUUUCGAUCUAUAGGUGUUUUGCGAAACUAUUUAAUACCGCAUCAUAUCCCAUGCAUUUUCUGUCAACCACUCUUGUGGCUACUUAGCUAUGCUUGAUUAAAAUCCUUUAUAUCAGUGCCCACUGUCGUAUACAAAUCAGUGCCCAUUUUCAAAGGAAUCGCUUCUUUAUCUUUUUUUUUGUCCCCAGGGAAACUUACUUCUCAAGCUUAUUAUCCUUUACACUGCCAUAAACUGGAGUAGAAAUGCAGUUAAUGUUGACUCAUCCCCUUCUCUCAAAAUACUCAUUCAUCUUUAGCACACUUCACAUUCAACUGCAGGUUUAUUAGUAGUGGGAAUUUAAGUUGCAUUUGCUAAUUAAAUGGUUUUGUUUAUAUUGAUCUUGUUAUUUUUCAAAAAAAAAAAUAUUGAGAUAAUAAGCAUGCAAACAAUUAAAUAGGUCCUUUUUUUCCAUGAAGACAUACACAGAAUUGACAUAAAUAUAUAACAGAACUAGAAAUUUUUAAAUGAUUAUAUAUCAAAUACAUAUCCUCCCCUCAUUUUGUUCCGUGCAAGGAAGAUCUGGAAAGUAUUUUUCUUGACAUGAAUUUUUUAUUUGUGCAACAACCAAUAAGAAAUUGUUCUGAAAGUUGAAUGUAGAUUUUCUCUCUGUAAAAGGAAACACAAGAAAAUGUAUAUAGGCUGAUCGAGCAGUAACAGCGAGUAACCAUGUAUAUGUCUUCAUUUCUGUAGAUACUUUAAGACCCCUGGGAUGUGGAUAUUGUAGAAAUAUUCCUUCCAGUCAAUAGAUUUGGGGUCAAAAUCAAAUCUUUGUGCUUCAAUCUUGUCCUUCAUCAUUUGCACCCUUAACCUUUCCAAGUUAGUGUCGUCAAAGCUUUAAAAGAAAAAAAAGAAAAGAAUUAGCACAAAUUAAUUCUACCUAUCUCCUUCAACGAACAUGCAUAAAAUAAAGAAUUAAUCAUGCAUGAAAUUAUAUGAAUUGCGCGCACACAUUAUAGAUAAAAAUGUCAAAUUGUCUUUCUUAUCUUACAAAACAUACAGCUGUGUGGAAGCUCUAUAGAGGUACAUUAUGUUAAAAUGAAAAGGCAUUUGAGAAUAGUAAAACUUAUAAUUAAUUAAUUGGAAUAAUGUGAGGGAAAUAUAUAUUAGUGCUUUGCUAACGGAGCUUUCUAGUUGAGACACUCAUAAAAUCGUAUAAACAUAAAGAAUUUGAAUCAUAUACCAUCCCUUGAAGAAGGCAUAAGGUGCAUAAAGGUCGACCAGGUGCAUAAUGAACUUGUACAUCCUGCUGAGCUCAUUGUAACGUUGCGCGAACAAUCCACAAAAUAUUAGAUUCAGCAUGUGCAGUACCUAAUGACGAGAAGAUGGAACCAUUAAGAAAAUAUAUAUCUGAUGGUCUAGCACUAUAAAUACUACUUGAUGGUGCCAUUAUUUGUAUUGAAAAUUAAAUGGAAUAAUUUGUGUUAAACUAUAACUAACUUGAAGUACUGUAGACAUGUAGUGUGCCAUAGCGUAUGUGGAGUGCAAACUAAUCUAAUAUAUGCAGAGUUUUUGAAAGAGAGUUAAGUGAUGACGACCUCCAACGGUAGCUUAUAUCUUAGGGUCAUAUACCCUUGAAAACUUCCCAAAGUUCUGAAGAUAGGAAGCCUCUUUGUUUUCGUGGGCUUUCCAUCUUUUCCAAUGCGAGGAUUCUCCAAGAAGUACUCGUACCCGCAUUGCUCCAGAAUAGAGUAUGACGCAGGAUUUCUCAUUGACGAGCCUACAUGGUAGAUGAAUUCAUCUUGCUGACUUGAAUGAGCCACUAUCGUUGAAAUCAUCGCAUUCACCACCAUGUCUCCAGGGAUCUGCAUUACAAAUUAAUCAGCCUUAAUUUGAAUGGGGUGCAGGCUGAGCUGAGCAAGAAUGAAAAUUCAUAACAAAUAGUAUGUGUUGCAUUUAAAUUAAUAUACUCGCUAAGUAUAUGCAUGGUUUAAAGCUUUGGGUUGAUCAUGGGAAGGAUUAAUUAGUGUUAAUUAGAGCAAAAAGCAUGCAUUAAUACGAAAGAAAAAUUUGCAACACUAAACAUGUAUAUUCCUUCCUUCUGAUUAAUUACUUACCACAUCCAUUGUAGAAUUAGGGUCUCCUAGGAAGCACGUGAGUUUUCCCUUGGCAUAACCAAUGAUGAAGGUGUCGAUAGUCCUACAAAAUCAUCUUCCCAAAUUUAGAUAAUUAUUUUCAGUAAUAAAAUUUUUGAAAAUGGGUGUACUUGUAUUGACCUGGUUCCUUCCAUCCACCCAGGCAAGGGCUCUUUGUAAAUGCUUGUUAUUAUAGAGGGCCGAAUGAUAACAAGAGGCAGAUCUUCUCUCAAAUGCCCAAGCAACAUCUCCCCCAUGGCCUUUGUAAACACAUAGGUGUUAGGCCACCCAAAAUUUCUAGCNACUAUCCUCUNNNNNNNNNNNNNNNNNNNNNNNNNNNNNNNNNGAAUUAGGCUGGAAUACUAUUGAUAGCAAAACGCUCUUUUUGCUAUCAAGUUUUUUAACCCUUGGAUGAGAAAUUGUAGGGUUAGGAAGAUAUUAGUCCGUUAGAGUUGAGUGGUCCCCCUAGGGUUGAGUGGUCUGGGUUAUAGUAUUUAAUCCAAUAGUUAGAAAUGAUGAAAAGAGUUGAUCCAAAGGCUAAAAAACUGGUAGCAACAAUGAAAUUUUGCUACUAAUAGUAGCCCAGUCCAACUCUAUAUAUAUAUAUAUAUAUANUUCUUCUCUAUAUUAUCGGUCGACUGGUCGAAGUCUAGUUCCCUCUUUCUUUCUUUAACCAAAUUUAGUUCUGCUUCAAUGUCUAAGUAUGAGUUUCCUUUUAGUGUCUCUCCCAUGCUAAACUGAUUCUCCAAUAUUAGUCCAUCGUUCUCGCCAGCCACAUAAGCUGAUGAUCAUUCAUUAGUCAAGAAUAACACGAGUAAUUUGGGCUUAAAACAUAAUAUGUGCUAAAUUAUUCCCAUAUCAAUAUUAUGAACGCAAAGUUUCUAUUGGCACUUAUCUCAUUGGUGUAUAUAUGCAAGAUAGUGUUAAUUAUUGUUCUCGAAGUAUUGAUGAGAAUUUGUAUGUAUCGGCUCCGUUAAAUAUGAUCUAAACCAUUUAAACUACCUAGAAAUCAAAUUUCACGCACUUUCGAUAUUGUUUUUUUAUCCAUCUAAUGAACAGAAAAAUGAAUGUCUGAAAAUGAAUAUUCUUUAAAAAAUGAUGAUAGGAGUCUUGUAAUCAAGAUCAAGAGUAUAGAUCUUGUUUUAAAUAGUUUAAAGAAUUUUCUAACAAAAAUUCAAUUGAUUUGGAUAUCUUUACACCGUUAAACGAGAAAACGUCUCUUAUCCACCAUUAAAAUUACAAAUUUUGAAACCUUUUGAUCAUUAGGCAAAUGAUGUCGAAAAGAUUUGAAAUUUGAUUUCUAAACACUGUAAGUGGUAUAGAUCAUGUUCAACGGAGCCGGUCGUCAAUUUGGAAGCUCUAUCAUCGAAAACAACUCGAUAGUAAAAUGCCCCGUUUACUAUCAAGAGUAUUCUAGCUCAACUCUAUAUAUAUAUAUAUAUAUAUAUAUAUAUAUUCAUCCCACUCAUCUGCAUGUAAUUUGAUUGUGGCAGUAGUAUGCUUACGAUUUUUCACACUACUUACCAGUGGAAACAUGGAGCAGCAUGUUGAGAUUAACGCAUUUCUUUGCAAACUCUAACACAUGUUUGGCUCCCAAGACAUUCACAUCCAAAGCCACAUCAUAUCUGCAAAAGAGUAUACAUGUUUUACGUGUUAAUUAACAACUGAAAACUUCGCUACUUUGCAUAGUAACAUUACGUGCAUCAAAUUUCAAAGAAAUUACAAAAACAAAACUUGCAUUGAGAAAAAACAUAUUAUAUAUGUGCUCGUAUAUUCAUAUUCAGUUGUAACCGAAAGCCUCUUAAUUAAUUUUGUUCGGCGGCUAGAAUAUACAUAGAAAGCUAGUACCUUUCAAAAAAGCCGGUUGUUGCAGCUACAUUGACAAUUAUGUUGAUUUUCUUCCAUAAGUGUUCUUUUAUAUCAGAGUCCUCUAUCCCAAGGUUUUCAUGAACAACAUCUCCCGCUACAGGAAUCAGCUUUUCUUCGAUGAAGGAAUGAAAUCCUUUGCCAUGUUUGUCUUUCAAAACCUGAAAUAUUUCCUUCCCUAUCACCUGGUAAAAUGAACAAGAAGCAUUAAAACUAUGUAGCUUUCACACUUGCAAAAUUAAUCCAAAAAAAUGCUAAGAGCAGGUUGUUAUUGUUACAUUACCUAAUAUAUUACUUAAAUCUAUACAUCGGGGAAUAAUGAUAGUAUAAGCAAGAAAGCUUAUUUGAAAGCAAUAGGGCUUUGAGCAUUGAUACUUGAUAGUUGAAACAAAAUAAAAUAAAAUCUAUGGCCUUUCAAGGACACAAUUAUGAGCAAGCCACUUUAUAUUUUAACUAUUGGAACUUGUUUGGACAUCAGAGUAAGUUAUGUAAGUAUAAUUUAUUUUGUAUAAGAAUUUUUUUUUUGUGAUUGCUAGUAAGGCCUCCUCGCAAAAAUCCAUGAUAUCCAUAGUUUAGUAGGGUAGCAUAUCUUUUCUAUAAGGUGAUUUAUUUUAUUCUAAAAAAAUAUGACGUCGAAUAUAGUAUUCAUUUUGGACAUUCGAUCACACUUCUCAUUUACAAAAUACUAAAUGGAAUGGCUACGUCGGAUAUGAUAUUCACGUAUCCAAACAGUACCUUGUUAUAAUCUUUUCUUGCUUGGACUUUCUUUUAACUACAGAUACAUGAUUUACUUAUUUUGCCUCCAUAUCCAAUAUCUCAAUGAUUGUGCUUUAUAGAUAUAAAAUUUUGAAUUAUGAUUUAAUUGAUAUUCAUUUAUAAUUAGAAAAACAACAUAAUAUAGAAAGUUUGCAUUGAUUUUUUAAAUUCAAGCCUAUCGAAAUUUUUUAGAUUCUCAAAUCGAAAAAGGAGUAUUGGGUAUUACACUAUCAUGAGUUUCAGGCACUUCACUAGGUAUAUAUAGAGAUUGACAACUACGAUGUUGAAUUGAAGAAGUCUAUCUAUGUUUGGAAGGUUGUUGGAUUUUGACUAUUGAUUAUGUGGAUGCUUGAUGUACUUAAAAAUAAUUUCUAAAUGCUAUACUAUUCUAUGUAUUUCAAACACUUUACAUGAUGUUUACAUCAACAAUUUGGAAGCCGUAUCAUCAAAAACUGCUGAGGGCUAAGACUUUGAUCUGUACACAUAAUAAUAUAUAUUAUCCUGAAAAAAUAUCAGUAAAUAUCAUUUAAUCAAACCUUAAUUUGCUGCAUCUAAAAUAUUUACAUUUUACCUUCCACUUUAAUAACACAGAGAAUAGUUGUUAUUCUCAAUAUGGUGCUAGUAUAGAGAGCCAAUUUUAGGCACUCUGUCUCCUAAGGAACUUAAGUUCAAGUGUGAGGCAUAGUAAGCAUUACUUAGGAGUGUAGACCUUCUUUUGCCACUUCUACUAAAAAUUAGAUCUCUCCUCAACCUCUAAUAGGGCAACUUGUUUGUUAUUUAGUAUAAAAUUUACAUCAUUAAUGUUUUUGGAUAUCCGGUAAUUAGCCUGGUUAAUUACUUAAAGAGCCUCCACUGCUUCCAAUCUAAGCAGUGACUCUACUCCUAUUUAUGCUGCGGUAUUCAACUAUAUCAACAUAUUAGAAUACUGAACCAAGUUAAUUUGAAACUGGCAAAAAGAAAAUAGGUUAACAAAAAGCCAUGUGUAUUCUGUGUGUAUGACGUAUUCCAGUUUCACUCUUUAAAGAGCUGCUUAACCAAACUGGACUGAUUUGGUGUAUGUAUGACGUACAUGUGUAUUCUGUAUUUACAUUUAUGUACGUACUCACGGUACGUCCUAUAUAUAUGUAUAUAUGUGUUAAACAAUUUCCAAUCUAUUGACGGCAAUUAAUAAGAUCGAUGUUGGCAUUAUAUAUUCUAAACUGUAAUUAAUAGGAAUAUAGUGACAAUAUUACUACACAUAUAUUUUACUUAUUUUCACUUGAUUUGUUGCUACGGCAGCUAUAUAUAUCAACUUUAUUUAAUUUCUAUUAAUAAGAUUGAUCUUGCAAAGUACACUAUUAAUGCUAUGUUAUCAAUUCUAAGACAAAAAAGUAGACUAAGUAUUGUUAUAUUAGUGUACAUAAUUAAUAGUGCGGAAAAAUUAGACAAUCCAGCAGAUACUUGAUAAGGAUCAAAUGUGUAAUCCAACUUUAUAAUAACGUAUUAAUUGGUUUAGACUGGCUUAGAACCAAAAUUAGCAAAAAAGGGGAUAACCGAACAAGCUUCAGAACCAUACAAGAACCCCCUACUUCUAUGUAGGAUAAUCCUUUCCUUUUUAUCUUUUUGCAUCUUUUUAUUAAUAGCGCUUUCAAUCUAUAUUUAUUUAGGUUUAUGACGUUUGCAAAUCGAGCUAAUUUUGAUCACUUGUACGAUAAGUAAAUCCUCAAACUUAUCUUACUUCCUGUCUCUGAAGUGUUUCAAAACUUUAGUAGAAUUGAAUGAUACAUAUACCAACCCACAAUGGUAAAUAAUGAGAUAUCACGAUCUUAGGCCCACCGUCUUGUAUAUAUUAUUGUUAAUUUGUGUUGGAGUAUAUACUACCAAGAUUUUGUGAAAGAGACUAAGUAAGAGGCUUUCUUGUUAGAGCAGUCAUAGAGCAUACACAAGUUAACUUGUUAAAAGUUCACACUUAAGAGGAAGAUAAAUAGAAAGAACAACAUUUAUCUGUUUUAAUUAACUCUUUUUUUUCUCUUUUUUUCUUUUCUUUUUUCUUUUUACAAGAGAGAGAGAGAGAGAGAGAGAGAGAUUGCACCUCGCUUUGAAUGCGCUGCUUAGGUGACGCAACAUUGGUGGCUCUCACAAGGAGGAAGAGCUUGUUAACAUUUGGUUCAACUCUAAGCAACUUCUCCACAAAUACUGCAUGCAUUCAACAGCAAAAAAUGAAGCUGAUUAAAUCUCCACAUGCAUGAACGCUCAGAACUGAAGUGAAAAAUUAUACAACAUAUAUAUGUUUGGAACAAAUGUAUAUAUAUAUAUAUAUAUAUAUGUAUGUAUAUAUGUAUAUAUAUAUAUAUAUAUAGUUGCAUCAGAAAAUUAACAAGAAUUAAAAAUCCUAAUCGACUCUACAUAAUUAUAUAAAUUAAGAUGCAUGCAUACUUGUUCCUAGAAAGCCAGUAGCGCCCGUAAUGAGGAUGUUCUUGUCCUUGAAAUAUCCUGCAAUUCUACUUGUUUCCAUGUCGAAGUCUACGGAGAGAAGGACGUGCAAAUUAGGAGAGAUGGAUUUUUGAGUUGUCUCAGAGAGAUCACUAUAUAAUUAAUGAACGAGUAAUGAUCGAACUUAAUAUGUUAUGCAUGCUGCUUAUAUAGAGGAUAAAAGAGUAGAAAUUAAGCUAGCUAGCUGCAGAAGAAAGCUAGCUGGAGUGUACGAAAGCGUGGAGACGUGGUGGUUCAAAACUUGUGCCAAGGAACAAAGCUAAAUAAAAAUUGGACGAGAAGCUUCACUAAUUAUAUAGUUUACUCUUUUUGUUUCUUUUUUUCUUUUUUUUUUCUCUCCUCCUAAUUAUUUUAGUCUCUCUAUCUCGUGCCUUAAUUAUUAUAUAAGUAAAUUAUAGAUAACCGGCCCCCACCGACUUUAAAUGCUACAAAUUAGCACGAAGAGCAAUACGCAAAUAAUUAAUUAAGCAGCAUGAAAUUAAUAGCCUUGUGAGAAGCAACAAAUUCAUAUAAUAAUAAUAAUAAUAAUACGUCAUAAUUAAUUAAUUAAUUGAGUUGCCAUUUAAUUAAUUUGGACGUAUUUUGGUCAAAUUCCGGCAAAAUCCGGUCAAAAUUAAUCAGCCGAUCGAUAUCUCUUUCUUGCUCUUUCGUCUUCUAAUUACUCAUCUCUCUAACUUUUGUUUGGAGUACUAUAUAUGACGUCGCGCGAGGUAAUCGAUCGAUCAAUCAAAAGGCAACUCUACCUCUACCUCAGAUACAUACUUCCAUUCUUUGGAGGUGAUUGGAUGGAAGUAGUUGAAAAUACAAUAGUACAGUUGGAAACACGCAUAGUUAUAAUUUUUAAUUAAGUUUAUAAAUCGACACAAUUUAAAAUUUUUAAUCUAUUACUUUAAUAGAUAAAGCAAACUUAACAUGUUCUGCCAUUCAUUCUUUCUUUAUCAAAUUGGAUAAUUGUAAUUUUUUUUUUCCUUGCAAAUCAACACAAUUUAAAAUUUUUAAUCUAUUACUUUAAUAAAUAAAGCUAACUUAAAAAUAUACUACAAAUCUUUCUUUUUUAUCAAAUUGGAAAAUAAUAAUAAAUUAAAAUUUAUUAAGUUAACAUACACAAUCAAAUUCUUUAAAAUUUACAAACAAGACUAUUUGUCGUCUUUUAAACGAAAGCAUUUUUUUUUAAUAGUUUAAUUUUACUUACAUAAAGCUUGUGCAACUCACGAAAUUUUAUUAUUUUUUAUAUAUUUAUAAAUACUUUCAUAUGUUUAUAAAUCUAUAUACAAAUACAUUUUGUUUUGUAUAUUAUUUGUUUAUAUAGUUAUCUAUUUAUUUAUUUACAUAUCUAUUCAUUUAUUAAUUCAUUUAUUUAUUUAUUUAGUAUUGCUAAUUAGUUGGGGAUUCGAUCCUUCACCAAUUACUGCAGUUAAAAUUGCAACCAAUUGGGGUGUAGUUCUAAUUAUAGCAUUUGGGUCUUCUCAUACAGUUGCAAAUGCAGCAACUAAGUUCAACUGCACCAAACCAAAUGCAUGAUUUGAAUCUACAUGCAUUUGCUACUGCAAUGUCUAUAUAUAUUGUAACGACUUCUAUUAUAAUUUUUAUUUUCAUACUUAUAUGUCUAUUUAUUUUUAAAGAAUGGAUUGGUAUUGAGAUAUAAUUAAAUUCUAAUUUUUCUAGGAGAAUGCAGUAAUUAUAUUUUAACUGAAUUACUACAACCUGUGUGAUUUUCUAAAACUAUAUACAGUGUAUUUCCGUUUCGCACAUUUUGGCCAUGAGUACCUACUCCCUUUAUGCAGAACCCCAAACAAAGACUUUCGGAAUGGGUAUAGAAAGUUAGAAUUUUGAUCUAUUACAUAAAUUUUAAACAUGUUCAAUUCACACAAUUUGACAAUAUUUUGACUAUUUGAUUGAAUAUAGAAAUUUUUAAAAAUAUAUAUAUAUAUAUAUAUAUAAUCUAAUUAAAUUUAAAGUUCAUUCCAAAAUGUGUUACAGUUCACCAAAAGUCUUUGCAUUUUUUACAUCCUAUACCAAAACUUUUUAUUAAGAGCAAGGACAGGUAUAUAUGUUACGUUACUUUUUCUCUCUUCUCUUCCUCAAAUUCUUUGCUUAGGUUUCUUCAUACAUGGAUCCAUCAAUCUGUCUCAUCUUUGUGUCAACGAAUCUCAUCUAACAGUUAGAACACUGGUGACAAAAUGUUGUUGGGGCUAGGGACGAGAACUUCUGUUGUUUAUUCCAACUGCAAAUAAAGUAACAUGUGUGUAUAUAUAUUGACGUUUCCGGCUGGGAUACUAUCGAUAGCACCAAGCAUUUGGUGCUAUCAAGUUUUUCGCCAUUUGAUUUAUCCUUUUGGCUAUUUUCUCCCAUUAAAUUAUACUAUUAAACCAAUAACUAAGGGCCCACAUCAUCCUAACCGUACAUUUUUUCAUUCAAGGGCUAAAAACCUAAUAGCACCAAAUGCUUAGUGCUAUUAAUAGGUAUCUUAUUCCCAAUUAAAAUUACAAAUUCUGUCUUUGGAAACCUUGUUUGAUCAUUUAGGCAAUGAUGUGAAAUUUGAAUUUUGAUUUCUAACACUGUAACGUGAUAUAGAUCAUGUUCCAACGGAGACCGCGUUCGUCAAUUGGGCAAGCCUAAUCAUCGAAAAAACGUCGAUCACUCAAUGCCCCGUUUACAUUAUCAAGAUAUUUUUAGCUCAACGUCUAUAUAUAUACUAUACUAUAUAUUUAUAUAUAUUAUCCCACUCAUUCUGCAUGUAAAUUGAAUUGUGGCAGGUAGUUAUGCUUACCUUAUUCUUUAACUACUAUCUUACCAGUGGGAACACAGUGGAAAGCAGCAUGUUGAGAUUAACGCAUUUCUUUAUGCCAAACUCUAACACAUGUUUGGCUCAAGACUUACAUCCACAGCCAAUAUAUCUGCAAAAAGUAUAAAUGUUUUACGUGUUAUUAACAAACUGAAAAACUUCGCCUACUUUUUGGCCAUAGUAACAUUACCGUCGCAUCAAUGUCAAAGAAAUGUACAAAAACAAGACUUGCAUUGAGCGAAAAAUACAUAAUUUUACAUGCUGCUGGUAUAUUCAUAUUCAGUGUGUACCGAAAGCUCUAUAAUUACAUUGUUGUUCGUGCGCGCUUAGGAAUGAUACAUAGAAAGCUGUACCUUUUCAACAAGCCGGUUGUGUUGCAGCUUACAUGACAAUUAUGUUGAUUUUCUUCCAUACAGUGUUCUUUUAUGAUCAGAGAUCCAUCUAUCCCAGGUUUUCCGAUGAACACAUCUCCGCUCAUGAAUCAGCUUUUUCUUCGAUGAAGGAAUGAAAUCCUUUGCCAUAGUUUGUCUUUCAAAACCUGAAAAUAUUUCCUUUACUAUCACGCUGGUUAAAUGAACAGAAGCAUUAAAAACUCUGUAGCUUUCCACCUUGCAAAAUUUAAUCCAAACAAAAUUUGCUAGAGAGGUUGUUAUUUCAUUACAGUUACUAAUUAUUACUUAAAUCUAUAAUCGGGAAUAAAUGAUAGUAUAAGCAGAAGCUUAUUGAAAGUCAAUAGGGCUUUUGGAGCAUUGAUACUUGAGUUAGCUUGAAACAAAAUAAAAUAAAAUCUGAUGUCCUUUCAAGUCCAAUUCUAUGUGCAAGCCACUUUAUAUUUUAACUAUUGGAACUUGUCUUGGACAUCAGAAAAUAAGUUAUGCUAAAGUAUAAUUUCCAUUAUGUAUAAUAAUUUUUUUUUGUGUAUUGCUGUUAAGCGAUUUUUUGUUUUUUUUUGGCCUCCCUGCACAAAAUCCAUGAUAUCCAUAGUUUAGUAGGGUAGCAUAUCUUUUAUUAGGUGAUUUUAUUUUAUCUUCAAAAAGUAUGACGAUCGAAUAUAGGUAAUUCUUUUGCACAUUCUAAACUUCUCAAUUUACAAAAUACUAAUGAAUGGCCUUACGGUCGGAUAUGAUAUUACAGUAUCAGAAAGUUACCUUGUUAUAGUCAUUUUCUGGCUUGGACUUUCUAGUUUAACUACAGAUACAUGAUUUACUUAUUUUGCGUCCAUAUCAAUAUCUCAUGAUUGUGCUUUAUAGAAUACUAAUUUGAUUAUGAUUAAUUGACCCUCAUUCAAUUAUAAUUCAGAAAAAACAACGAUAAAGUAUAGAAAGUUUGCAUUGAUUUUUUUUAAAUUUAAGCUAUCGAAAUUUUUUAGAUUCUCAAAUCGAAAAGGAGUAUUGAGGUAUUACAUAUCUUGAGUUUCGAGGCAUUUCACUAGGGGUAUAUAUGAGCAUUGACAACUAGCGAUCUUGAAUUGAAGAAGUUAUGUCUAUGUUUGGAGAGUUGUUGGAUUGGUUGAACUAUGAUUUAUUGUGGAAUGCUUUCGAUGUACUUAAAAAUUAAUUUCUAGAUGCUGAUAGCGUAUUGCUAUGUAUUUCAUAACCGACUUUUAUGUGUUUUAAUGCAACAAUUUGGAUCAAGGCGUAUCAUCAACAAACUGCUGGGGCUACAGCUUUUGAUUUCUGUACACAUAAUAAUAUAUAUUAUUCCUGAAAAUCAUCAGUAACAUAUGCAUUUAAUUCAAACCACCUUAAUUUGCUGCAUGGCUAAAAUAUUUACUUUACCUCCACUGUAAUAACACAGAGAAUAGAUUGUUAUUUCAAUAGGUGCUAGUAUAGAGAGCCAAUUUUGGCGACUCUGUUCUAACAAGGAACUUGAAGCUUCAAGUGUGAGGCAUGUAUAGCAUUAGCUUAGGAGUGUGAGACCUGUCGUUUUGCCACUUCUUGACUAAAAAAUUAGAUCUGUCCUUCAACCUUAAUAGGGCAAUUGUUUGCUUAUUUUAGGUCACUCACUAAAUUUUACAUCAGUUAAUGUGUUUUGGUAUAUCCGGUUAAUUAAGCCUGGUUAAUUACUCUAAAGGCGCUUCCACUGCUUCCAAUCUAAGCAGUGAAACUCUACUCCUAUUUAUGCCUGCGGUAUUCAACUUAUCAACAUAUAUUGAAUACUGAACCAACGGUAUAUUUGAAACUGGCAAGAAAGAAAAUAGCCGUUAACAAGAAGCAUGUGUAAUUCUGUGUGUCUGACGUAUUCCGUAUAUCACUCUUUAAGAAGCAUGCUUAACCAAACUGACACUGAUUUGGUUGUAUGUAUGAAGUACUAUGUGUAUUCUGUAUUUACAUAUGUACGUACUCAGGGUACGUCCUUAUAUAUUGUAUAUAUUGUUAAACAAUUUCAAUCUAUGACGGCAAUUAAUAAGAUCGAUGUUGGCAUCUAUAUAUUUAAACAUGUACCAUUAAUUAGGAGAUAUGAAGUGACACAUAUGUACGUCACACAUAUAUUUUACUUAUUUUUCACUUGUAUUUUUGUACUGGCAGCUAUAUUAUCAACUUAUUUAAUUUCAAUUAAUUAAGAUUGAUCUUGAAAGUAACAUUUAAUGCUAUGUUAGUUUCAAUUUCUGAAGACAAAAAAGUAGCUCCAGUAUGUUAUUUAGUGUACAGAAUAUAGUAUUCUGACGAAAAAUUAGAAUCCAGCAGAAUACUUGCAUUAAGGAUCAAAUGCCUCGUAAUCAAAUUUAUAAAUAACGUAUAAUGUGGUGUUUAGACUGGCUUUAGAACCAAAUUUAGACAAAAAUGCGAUACCGCAAGCUUCAGAACAUACAAGAACCCCUACUUCAAUGUAGGAAAUCCUUUCUUUUUAUCUUUUUGCAUCUUUUUAUUAAUAGCGCUUCUCAUGCUAUUAUUUAUUUACGGUUUAUUUGACGUGUGCAAUCGAUGCUAAUUUUAUCACUUGUACGAUAAAGUAAAUUCAAAUUAUCUUAUUCCUGUCUCUGAAGUGUUUCAGAAACUUUAGAAUAGAUUGAAGUUAUACAAUAUACCAACCCACAAAUGCGUAAAUAAUGAUGAAUAUCACGAUUUAGGCCCACGUCUUUGUAUAUUUAUUGUGUAAUUUUGUUGGAGAUAUACUACAAUAUUUUGUGAAAGAGACUAGUAAGAGGCUUUCUUGUUUAGAGCAGUCAUAGCAUGCAUUAAAAAGUUAACCUGUUUAAAAGUUACAUUAAGGAGGAAGAUAGAAUAGAAAGAAACACAUUUAUCUGAUUUUAACUUAACUCUUUUUUUCAUUUUUUUUCUUUCUUUUCUCUUUUUACAAGCGAGAGAGAGACGACGAGAGGAGAGAGAGAUUGCACCUCGCUUGAAUGCGCGCUUAGGUGACGCAACAUUGGUGUUCACAAGGAGGAAGAGCUUUGUACACUUGGUUCAACUCUAAGCAACAUUCUCACAAAUACUGAAUGCAAUUCAACAGCAAAAAAUGAAGCUGAUUAAAUCUCACAUGCAUGAAACGCUCAGAACUGAAGUGAAAGAAUUUAUAAAAUAUAUAUAUGUUGCGAACAAAUGAUAAUAGUUUAUAUAUUAUAUAUAUGUCUAGUACCUAUAUUGUAUAUAUAUAUAUAUUAUAGUUUGCAUCAGCAAUAAUUAACAGAAUUAAAAUCCUAUCGACUUACAUAAUUAUUAUAAGUUAAAGAUGAUGCAUUACUUGUGCCUAGAAAGCCAGUAGCUGCCCCGUUAAUGAGGAUGUUCUCUUGUACUUGGAAUUUUAUCUGCAAAUUCUGCUUGUUUUCCCAUGUCGAUAAGCUACGGGAGAGCAAGGAUCGUGCAAAUUAGGGAAGAUGGAUUUAUUGAAGUUGUCUCAGAGCAGAUCACUAUAUAAUUAAUGAACGCAAGUAAAUUGAUCGAACUUAAUGAUGUAUAUGCAUGCUGCUUAUUAUAGAGGGGGGGGGGGGGAGGGAGGCUGGAUAAAAGUAGAAAUUAUGCUAGCUCGUGCCAGAAGAAAGUAGCUGGAGUGGUUUUACGAAAGCGUGAGACGUGGCUGGUUCAAAUAUUGCAAGGCAACAAAAGCCUAAAUAAAAAAUUUGGACGAGUAAAGGAUCACUAUUAUUCGAAAAAUAAUAAAAUUUAUUUUCUAGGUACUCCAAAUACUCUAGAUCAAGUUUAACGGAGCCGAUCGACGAUUCGAAAGUCCCAACAUCGAAAACGAGCUGGAAGCACGGAAGGCUCCGUGCUUCCAAUAGCAUAGUAGCCUCAC